Molecule: long non-coding RNA, 52285 nt
Filed under: Setaria viridis
Lineage: Eukaryota; Viridiplantae; Streptophyta; Magnoliopsida; Poales; Poaceae
Description: long non-coding RNA (SVIR_LNC010201)
Source: RNAcentral
GGGGGGGGGGGGGGGUGGUCCAAGGCAGCGGUGGAGAGGAGAGGAGCUGCUGCGGCGCGCCGCCCGUUGGUCCGGCGGCCAGGAGAGUUGGAGGCUUCUUGUUUCCGGCGUCGGUCCAGGUGGGGGGCCCACCACGACGGCAGGUGGUUUGGGCCGAGUUAUACUUGAGCAGAGUUGCCCAGGAUCAGAAAAGAAAAAAAAACGAAGAGUGUUCGAAAAAAAAACUACUCGGCCAGACCAAGUUCUCGGGUUAAUACGCCGGCAAGCGUGUAGGACUCCUUUAGGAGGAGAUAAGUUUUUUUAUUUUAAGGUUGUUUAUUUAUCUUUAUGCGCUAGUGUUUAAACCUAUAUUCCUCUUCCACUUAAAUGCAAGGCAGUGCUCCUGCCAAUGUUUAAAAAAAAAGAGAGCAAAACUUUAUAUACAGAAAAAGAAGGCUAACAAUAUCCACUGCAGAUAGCACCCACAUAUGGAAACUAUGGAGAGUAUUUCUCAAGAGUGCUCUUGUGCCACAAUUUCUAGUAAUUUCCUAACUACAAAAGGCUUGUAAUUCCUAAUUUUGCUCUAUUUUGUCGAUCUGCGACUGUGACUCUGACUGUUAGCAAUCUGCAACCGUGUCUACUCAACGUCCAUUGUCCGAUCGGCUAUACUGAAAUCAUGUGUUGCUAUUGCUCCCCCAUGUCAGUGUCAUUUCUCCCAGAAUUAAUUAGACCUGCAACGAAUUCACCUACUUCAUCCGUUCCAAAUUAUUCCAAAUUGUAUUCCAAAUUGUAGGUCGUUUUGAUUUUUUAGUUUCAUAGAUAUUAUUAUGCACCUAGACAUAGUGUAUAUCUAAACUAAAAAGUUAAAACGGACUAUAAUUUGGAAAGAAGGAAGUAUUUAGCAUUAGUAACAGUGCUGCAGGUUUUAAAUUGCCUGCUCUGGCUCUCUGGAAUGUGUUGCAUGUUCGGCUAUAUUCCUUUUCUUAUUUUCUUGAGCACCCUUUGCAUCCCUGUACAUUUUUAUUCUCUCAAGAUGGAUGUUCCAAAGUGUAUUACGUGCUUCCUUUGAUGUUUACAUCAAUCAGGAUCUUCCUUGUUCAACUCAAGUUUUCCCCAGGUGAAACUGGGCCUAGCCUUCUCAAUGAUUUCCUUCAUGAAAUAACCUUUUUCUUGAAUAAGAAAAGUUUUUUUCCUAAAAAAACAUUGCAGUAACCACACACAAAAUUAAUGCUUCCAUCACUAAUGGAAAAAGGGUACAUCCUACAGCAUGAAGAAACCUAUGCAGCUUCCUGCUAAGGGAACUUAAACACAAGCAACCACAAGUAAUAACUCACAAAAGAUGUAGCAUCGCAUAAAAAGUACUAGAUUGCUCAGGAUGGGUACUGAUGUGCAUCAAACCAUGGAUUAUUUCAAAGCACAAAACGACAAAGUAACCCACAAGGUACCAGCAGAAAAAACAAGGGUCACCAUUUUCUACUGCUACUAACUAAAGCUGCUCCCUGGAGAUGAUAUGGACCUUCAUGGUAAGCUUCUUCUGGUUCUUCUUCAGUUCGAACAAGCAGAUAUCACCGGCUCGCAGACCAUUGCCACGAACAAAUUUGGGCCAGCCUCCGCUUAGAAACCACCUGCGAACCCUUUGAAACACCAUUUUGAUCUUCCAUAUCUUUCCCAAGCAGUGGAGCACCAUGGUUUGCCCUUUAGCUGGAAGAUGCACAGCAGCAGCAUAUCGCGAACCAAAUUCCUGAUGAGUUACAGAUGGAGAAUUUAGGAAAACAUUGGCAGGUUGACAUUUGAAGGAUUAAGUUUUAGGUUUAUACUAUUGACUUUGUAUGGUUAAUCUUCUUGGGUGGAAUAAGUUAUCUCAAUUAUGUGGUAACAAAUACUUUGCUGAUACAAAAGCAGAUGAACCGCCUGGCAUUCAUACGAACAAAAAGUCAUGUCCACCUUAAACAGGUUAAGAUGAACGGAACAAAACCUGAAGAAUGGAAAACAUAAUUCAAGAUAAAAAAGAAUUAAACUUACUUGCAUGUAAGCAAGGCUGCUCUUCGUCAUGAUUGCUACGUAAAUUGGAACCUCACAUUGGAUGUCUCGCACUCUCUCUUCAACAAUCUUCUUUUGGGAUUUAGAUAGACGACUCUUGCCUGGUAAAAUGUAGGGAGGUUGAGAUGGACCACCAGAGUCCUGGCCGCUCUCCAGAGAUUCAUGAGAAAUUUCAUGCAUGUCACUUUCCAAGGAAACAUGUUCUCCUGCAGAUAGGUUUAGGCUGUAAGAAAGGAAUAAUUCAAAAUGCAACUGACUUUCUACUAUUUUGCUACAAUACCGUCAGUUGGUUCCUCCUUAUGGAUUUCUGAAGCCAUAUUUGCACUAGGUGCAGCAAGGCAUGGGCCAACCCUUUGAAAACCAGCUCCACGCCUGCCUGAAUGAGUAGCUGUUGCACGAAGUAGGUAGACUAUAAACGUGAAUCUCCCGCCAUUUGUCGGUAAAAAGAGGCAGAUAUCUCUCUCCUGCACAUGAUUGUCACGGACAAAGUCUAACCACUGCCCUCGAAGCAUGUACACGCUCCUAUCUUUUCUUGUGUAGAAUUUGGGAUGCCACUUUUUGCUCUUGCCUGGUCUAUGAAGCGUGACAUUUGCGUUUCCAUGUGGAAAAUGUGCAAAUGCAUAUUCCUUGGUAAUAGCCUGAUUAAAGAUUGAACAUGAUGUGAUGUAAACGAACAACCAAGAAUAUUAAACAAAAUCAUUUCAGUUGUCAGUAAAAGGUUUGUUCAAAAAAAAUAUGUUCGUUGUCAGUAAAUGAAAAAAAGUAUCAUUUGUCUGCAGUCCACACAUGUUUAGAAGGCUCAUGAGAAUUUGAAGAGAUAAUUGAAUUUCACCCAUACUUAUGGCAGCAUGUACUGCAACAGCUACAACAAAAGAAUUAAUGUUGGGAGGAGUGACUUGCUAUUCGACAGAAGUGAACUUACGACAAAAGGAUUCGGGGGAUGAACAUGGCACUUCUGCAUGACUGCAAUGUAAACAGUAAUUUCAGGUUGAAUCUCCUGGAUAAGCGCAAUUACUCUCUCCUUUUGUUCUUCAGAUAAAUGACUUCGACAUGAUAUAACAUAAUCUGCCCCUGGGGGAGUCUGAAGAUCAUCUGACUCAAAAGAUUCGUUUUCAGAUGGAAUGUCAUCUCCUGCACAAAUUAACACAACAGGCUACAGGAAUAAGCAGCAUAAAUUCUGAGUCAAAUAUGCAAGUAACUUAAAUAACUGUAUUACCUGACCCGCCAGAUGAUGAGGAUGUUACAGCCAUCUUUGAUGUUUUCCCGUGUCGAUUGGAGCUACCCUUCACACACCUAGCAGCUCUUUCACUUCCUGACGAUUCUGUGGUAUCAUAUUGAGAGCUGCUUGAAAUAUCAACAGAAUCUACACUUCUUUUUCCAACAUUUGGUGUAGUUUUUAUGCCAGAACAGCAAAACAUUUUCUCACAACCAUCAGAAUCAAGGAUCAGAACCUUGAAAACAGAGUUCUCAAUGUUCCGAAACAGCAAUGAAUCAUUCUCUUCUAUAUGAUGGGCAUCAACAAAUGCCUCCCACCCAUGCCUUAGCACCAUCUUCCUAUAACGUUCCGUAACUUCAACAUCAUAUAGACUACCAUUAGCGGAUUCUAAUUUGAUAGUUCCAGACAACUUUCCUGCGAAAUGCUUCAGAAAUCUGUUCGGUAUGGUCUGUAAUAAUAUCAAAAGGAAUUGAUGUAACUAGAGUAGCUCCUUGCCAGACCAACCUUAAACAAUGUAAUCUAUGACAUGUUAAUCAGGAAUCAUAAGUAAACAGAUAUUGGUUACAUGGGUAGUUUCAACACUGGCGGUCAGUAGAACCCACACCACGAAACAUAUACUCAUGAGAUGCACAGAAACCAGGAGGUGCAACAUUUAAUUAACAAUACAGCAUCUAUACUAUUCAGAUUGACAUGAUUUGUCAACCAUCAGAAGAUUUGUAAGGCAAAACAAAAUGAUGAGCAUCAUGUGCGUGCGAUUGAUGCAGAUGUUAUCUACUUUACUCAGCAAGUAGUAAUAAUCAGUAUGUGCAACGAUGCUAAGAUACAUGAAAAGCUUUGCCUAAUGUGGCACGAUAUAGAAGUCAACACUUGAUGAACCUCUGCAAUUUAAAUUAUCUCUCACUGUGAUGACCAUCGUAGGGGUGUUACUUUUCCCAAUGUUCAGGUAGCAGUAACACACCAUUCAGUUUGGCUAGCUCAAAUCAAGUUAAUCAAAGUGCUAAGUACAGUUCCCACUUUCUAAAUCCAAAUUUACGUUGGUAUGGAAAUAUGAAAAAGACAAGGUAUGAUAACAAACAUAUCAAACAUGGGGAACGAUUACCAUGCUAUGUUUAGUAUUGGCAGUCAUCCGCAUGAGGAAGCAGCUCAUUGUUUGAUUCUUUUCAUCCAAAUGGUCCAAGUACUUUUGGCAGCAAUCACAAGGUUUCUUCAUUCGGGAACCAUCAUUCCUACCCAUGUCAACUGGAAUUAUUACAGUUUAUAUUAGAUGCAUAUUCAAUUAGAAAUCUUUGAUGCACUACUCGCACGUUUCCAGUAGAACAAAAUCUUAACACCACAUCACGAAGGUAGUUUGCCUCCAUAAAGACGAGUUCCUUGACAAAGGAAUCACCUUUCUUUUUUCUGGAGCACAUUACAGAGGUUGCAACUCUUUGCUAUGCAUCGUUCAACAAAGCAAUGUGAAUUACAUUUAGAUGCUGCAAGCCUGCAAUCGAGCACCCAGAAUAUAACCUAUUCUGGAAAUCAGCUCAAAAGAAGCGGUUCAUAUGCUACUACCACAAAAAACCAGGCUCAAAAUCAAACAAGAACUACCAUGCAAAUGGCUGAAUAAAUCGAAGUUUCUCUUCACUCGCUCUCUCUUACAUUACCGAUGCUCAUAGGAGAAGAGAAAACGCCUUCACCUUUGCGUAGCAGCUCCACCGAAGAAUGGUGAUGCAGAGGAUAAGCCCCAAAGCUACUAGGACCAUAUAUACACGCACAAGCCAUGAAGCCAGUCAUUCAUCAUUACAUGGAUAGAAAAAACAAGUGGUGGAUGCAGAGGUAAACAUUUCUCUUUUGGAAAGAACUUGAUGGAAUGACAGUACAGCAAAAGAUGGCAGGGAAUCUGCAGAAGCUGUCAUGAUUUCCUCUCCUAGCAACUAGCAAUCCCAAGAAAUGAAGAAAUGGAGUACACUUGAAUUUCUAAUUCAGUAAUAGAUUCCGCAGUACAAUAGAAUAAGAAUUAAGAAAUGUAGUAUACUGUGGCACAGCAGAUGAAACAACUUGAAGAAAUGGAAUGGUAAUAUUACAAAGAAAAUAAGGUACCUAAGUUAAGGUUUUCUAUGCAUGCCUAUGCCUGUGUCCAAUCGCUUCUCCAGAGUUGCAGCAAUCACUCCUUGCAACACGGUACGUCGAUAUCGACCAUUUGUGAGGGGAGAAGAACAUGGAGCCCAGGAGUCGGAAGCAUUUCAACUUCCAAGUGCAUUUAAUCGUAUGAGUUAAAGCCCUCACAGACGUGAUGAUUAAUGUGGGGGAAGUUGGAGGGACUAAAAGAUCAGAAAAUAUGCUCAUGUGAACUCAGCCACGAGCCCAUAGAGAACACUGACGACUUCAGAAUCUUUCAGGGGAUUUCCUGGGCAGCAGAGUAAUAUACCAUCGAGUCUUUUUUUUUUAACGAACCGGAGAGCUGCUAAUUAUAUUAACUUUACAAACUGUAGGCUUGGCCUGGAAAAAGAAAAACGAAAACAAACAACCGCGCGGCACAGGACAUGUUAGGUCCGGCCAGCAAGAGUGGCGAGGUGAUUAGCCCCCGCCAUAAUCCAGCUAUCUAAGUCAUCUCUAACUCUGAAUAAAACAUUGUCGCUUGUUGCUUCUUUUCGAUAAAAAAUCCUGGCGUUUCUUUCCUUCCAGAUUAUCCAGGAGGUUAACAUGAUUAAGGAGCACAUGCCUUUGCGCGAGCUGGUAGCCGAUCUUGCCAUUCUUGUCCACCACUCAUGUAGGUCACCAUCUUGUUGCAUCCAUUCCCUCGGGUGCACUGUUGGGAUUGCUAGCCAUUCCGAGAUUGAUGCCCAAAUCUUCUUAGUGAAUCUGCAGUCGGCAAGGAGGUGUAUCGCCGUUUCAGACUGAUUCCUACAGAGUGGGCACGUUGAUUGGUUCGCCCAGCCUCUUGCUUGUAGUCUGUCUGCUGUGCACAGCCUGUUUUGAACGGCCAGCCAGUAGAAAAUCUUGCAGCUUGCGGACGCCCACGUCCGCCAAAUGAGCGUGUCAAAAUUUGUUAUCACGGAUCCAAGGAACUGAGCAUUGUAAGCCGAUUUGGGCAAGUAGUUCCCAUCGGCCGUGAGUUUCCAAGUGAUUUCGUCCUGCGUCCCCUAGUUUAGGUUGAUGGUUUGGGUUGCCUUCCAUAGGUCGAUAAAUUGUUGUAGGUGUUGUAGUGAGAAGCCUGAAUGAUGGAGGUUGAGGUCCUUAAUCCAGUUGGAGUUCGUCAAUGCAUCGCUAGCAUUCUUUGUUUUUUUCUUGGAGAUCAUGAACAGAUUCGGCGCGAAGUCAAUUGGCCUCCGACCUUGAAACCAGCCGCUGUGCCAAAAGGAUGUCAUAUUCCCGUUGCCAAAUGUUAUUGUUGUUGCUGCCGCAAAAAGCUUCUUGUCUGUUUUGUUGCACGGGAUCCCCGAUCCUAUCCACGGCUUGUCCUGUUCUUUUCAUUCUUGCCAUAACCACCGUAGCCUGAGACUUCUAGCAAAUUGCUUGAGGUUGAGGAUGCCCAGGCCACCCAACCGGGUUGGCCGGGCGGAACGUAUCCAGUUCACUUUACAUUUCCCACCCGUGAUUGCUACCGCGCCGGCCCAAAAAAAUCUCUUCCGUAUGGUGUCAAUUUCUUCCAGUAUAGCUUUAGGCGCAUCCAUUGCUAUUAGGAGGUAGACUGACUGUGACGUGAGCACUGCUUUGACUAGGGUGAGACGGCCCGCCGGUGCUAUGUUCUUUGCAGUCAGCUUCCCGAUGGCUUUGUGGCUCGGUGAGGACACCAAUGUCCUCUUUGGUCGGAUUUACGAAGAGUACCGUGUCAUCCGCAUACAUGGAGAUCCUGAUGUUUAGGCUUCUUCCUCUUAGUUUGCUGAGUAGGCCUUUCUCCGUCACCAAGUGCAACAGCGCUCUAAGAGGUUCAAUAGCGAUGACAAAUAGCAGCGGGAAGAGCGGAUCCCCUUGGCGGAGACCUCGUCCGUGAGAGAUCGGCCCAUUUGGGAUUCCAUUUAACAUGACCCGCGACGAAGAGGUGGAUAGGAGUGCCGCGAUCCAAUCUCUCCACCUAGUUGGGAAACCCAGCUUCUCCAACAAAGUUAGCAGAUAGUCCCAUCUCACCGAGUCAAAAGCUUUGGCGAUGUCAAGUUUUAAGAAAAGCGUCGGGAUUUUGUUGCAAUGGAAUCGUCUGGCCAUGUUACGGACGGAUAGGAAACUGUCAUGUUACUUCUUUUUUUUGAUGAAAGCGCUUUGCGUUGGGGAGAUUAUUGUUCUGAUGUGCGGGGCAAGCCUUAGAGCUAACGUUUUAGUGAUAAUCUUGAUGAAAAAGUGGACGAGACUGAUUGGUCUGAAAUCCGCCACUAACUCAGCUUCGUAUUUUUUUGGCAGUGGAACAAUGUUGGCCAUGUUGAUCAACGACAAGCUCCCCGUGCGAAGGUUGUGGAAGGCAUUUGCCGCCUCUACGACAUCAACCUUUAUGAUUUCCCAGCAGCCCUUGAAGAAGGCCCCUGUAAAUCCAUCCGGUCCAGGGCCUCGUCGCUCGGCAUUUCGAAGAAGGCCCUCUUUAGCGUGGCCUCCUCGAAAGGCUCAUCCAGAUUUUGAAUGUUUAGUGUUGGUAGCUGCAGUUUGUUCCGGUCGAUAUCCACCGCGCGUUGGUUUGGCUGGCCCAUCAUUUUUGCGAAAUGAUCCUGCACCACCUUUGCCUUUUCUUCAUUUUUGAUUGCCCACCCCGCUUCAUUCUUUAGUCUCUGAACAUGAUUCUUGCGCCGCCUGCCGUUGAUCUUGCGGUGGAAAUAUUUUGUGUUUGCGUCCCCUAGCUUUAGGUUUGUAACACGUGACGCUUGUCGUGUCCUAGCGCGCUCAAUGACUGCAAGGCCAAGUACCCUGCGCUUGAGUUUUUGACGCAGCGUUGUCUCGCCAGCGGAGAGUGGUCAGAGCUCUUGUUCCAGUUGGAGAAUGACGUCCGCGGCCAUGAGAAGUAAAAUUCUGACAUCAGGGAAAUUUUUUUUGUUCCAUUCGCGGGAGUCCUUCAGCUACGGCGCCGAGUUUAUGGUAUAGGCGGUUGAAAGGUUCAUGAUUCUUGGUUGGAGAAUUCCAGGCUGCCUGGACAACUUUAGUGAACCCCGGCAAUUUGAGCCGGUGGUUUUCAAACUUGAAAGUUCGAGGUCAUCGCAGGCCACUUUGAUUUGUUAGUAGCAAUGGGCAGUGAUCCGAGUGUGACGUGGAUAAAGCAUGGAGGACGUGCAUUUGGAAAAGAGCGUCCCACUCCACGUUCCACUCCGCGUUGCGGAAGAUGCGGGCUUGAUCAGGGUCGGGCUCUGUUGCUCAUUGCUCCAGGUAAAUUUGCGGUGUGGGAGGUGUAUUUCCUUGAGCUCGCACUCACUAAGCGCAUCCUGAAAGAGCUGACAUAAGACGACGAUUUAGGUUUGAGUUGUUUUUAUCGAUCGUUUUGUAAAUGAGGUUGAAAUCUCCCGUGAUGACCUAUUUCGUUCCCUGUGCCGGCACUAUGGAGCACAUUUCUGCUAGGAAGGCGACUUUGUGGUUGUGUCGUGACGGGUUGUAGACGUUUGAGAGGUGAAACCGGGUGCCACAUUCCCGUCGCUGUAUCGUUGCCGAUAUGUAAUAAUGACAAUUUCUAAGACGUCCACCUGAUCAUCGUUCCACAGGAGAAGGAGCCCUGCUCUGGUUCCUGACGGCCCGUCGGCAGGUUUGAAGACAUAUUUCGUUAGCUUGAAACCUCCCAGGUAGCAUGCAGUGUGUGCAUCAACAGAUUGGAGCUUAGUCUCCUGAAAGCAAGCUAUGUGGCAAGGUGUGGAUGCAAUGGUCUGGUGAACCAAGUCCUUGCAAGCUUGCUGGUUUAAACCGCGGACAUUUCACCGUCUAGAGGAAAAUUGGUUCUAUAACAUCGAAAGAUUAGCAUAUUCAGAAAAUACCAUAAAAAAUUUGUCGCUCCGUAAAAUAGCAUCGAAAGAAUGAACUGUUACCCUAAACUACCACUAUGUCACGUUUGCCAUUCACGCCGUCUGUCCGUACGUCAAAACGCCACUUCCUCGCCCUCCCGAACGACCAUGGCAGGUUCUGCGCCGGGCGCAGGCCCGCGCGCCUCGCCGAGAGGCCGCGAGGCUGGCAUCUGCGCCUCCGCCCGCGUUGAGCUCGCCUCCCCUGCGAAGCUGAAAGCUUGGCACGUCGAUCUCGCGGUGAAGCUCGAAGCUCCACAUGGCCGCCACAGCCGCGAGUUUCGCGGAACCAGUUGCAACCUGCCAGUCUGCCGCUGUCGAUGGCAUAUAACGCGUCGGCCUGCACCGUGGAGGUGGUGACUGCGAGCUGCAAGGAGCAGUAGUCGAUAGUGCAGUAGGCCGGUGACGCUAUGGCGACCUGACCCAAGGGACCGCGGGGAUGGGCGUAUGCUGCGAGCAGGCGCCGGCAAGCUCAGCGUGGGCCUUCAAGUCACUGACUUGCUUCUGCGGCUGGCAGUCAUUGACCAAAACGCUAAGCAGCAGCAAUCCAUCACCAAGCUCCAGCUCCUCUGCAAGUCUGCAUCCGAGCUCCCCUUCUUUCUAUCUCUCUGCACCAACACAUGCUUCCUCAAAUCCACCAACCAGAGCAGUAAGAACUAAGAAUGCUAUUUAUCAGGCAAAAUAAUACAACUACCACAGCGCCACCAGGAUGUUCGAUGAAAUGCCGCACCUCGCACUCGCCCUCGCGCUCGCGCUCUACCUCCGCGCAUUUUCUCCGUCCACGCAUAUGCUCUUGAGUCUCGACUGCCACAGCUGCAGAUACUGUCACUACUUGCUCACGUGGGAGAACACCGGAAGAGAGAGAUGAGGGAGAGAGGCCCCAAGCUAACUGGCCGCCAGGGAGAGAAGAACGAGCGAGUGUCACCGAAGCCGAGCCUUGCCUUUGCCAGGCACGGAGCGCACGAUGGCCACGAACGACGAGCGCAACCUGGGAGCGGAUGUGCGACCGGCGGGGACCCCAGCCUCGCGGGGUCGCCGCAGGGCAGCAAGCGUCUCGUCCUGUCCAGAGAGAGCCAGGGGAAGCUGCCAUGGCCGUUUGGAGGCGGAGGAAGUCAUCGAUCAUGUGCUAGGAAAGAAAGAACGGACGGCGUUAACGGCCAACAUGACAGAAUGGCAGUUUAGGGUAACGGUUUAUUCUUUCGAUGCUAUUUUACGGAGCGAUGGAUUUUUUAUGGUAUUUUCGGAAUACGACGAUCUUUCGAUUCUAUAGAACCAAUUUUCCCAAACUCCUCCAGCAAAGCAUGUCGAUGCCAGGGGCUAUCAUAAUUGGGGAGGAGCAGACUCUGAUGGCAAUCUGGGAGGCAUCCAGAUGCGAAGAAGUUCAUGGUGGCGAGAAGUUUUUUUCCUCGCGAUUACAACCAAAUCGAAGCUUACUACCCAAUCGAAAAGCAGCUGGAGAAGCAAAACAACGCCGCCGCCACCAAAAGAGUUCUGUGGCAUCCCGACGCAGAACAGAGGCUACAGGCACAUCCAGGGGCGGAUCUAGGUGGAGUCCCUUUAACAUAUGUGGUGUUUAGCCUAAUAAAAUGAGGCUUAGGAGACAAGAUUAGAUUGUUUUGGGCGUGAUUCAACAGCUCAGCCCGGGGCGCAGCCCCGUUCUAGAUCCGCCCCUAGGCACAUCUUGUUGUCGUGAUACAUGAUGGCAGGUAGAGACCGCGCGGGGUAGAGCGGCAGCAAUACUAUGCUGCAGCAAGGACUGCAGCAGCGUCCUCCACGUCGCCGAUGCCGUCGCCCACCAUGGCUGCCAUGUCGAUGUCCAUCUGCUCCACCUCUUCGUCAUCUAGGUUGAACAGGGCUGUGAGUGCAGCAAUGAUCUCCGUCGGCAGCAGCCAGCUGAACAUCGCCAGGUACUCCUGCAGAACACGCUCAAUUGGUUCAAGAUCAUCCUGAAGCAUCCCUAGCUUGCGGUAGAGAUUGCGUUGCGCGGCGGACAACAUCCAUCUGCGGCGCAUUGGCCAGACGGGCGCUGCGGCGUACGGUGGACAUGUCAAAGGUGCGUUUCUUGCAGCGUCUUGGAGGUGGAUGGUUGUCACUUGCCUAGCGUGGCAAUGGUGAUGGCAGCGGUUGACGCAGCAGGCUGCGGUGGCGUGACGAACAGGCCGGCGAUGUCGGGGAGGUCGGCGGCGGCGGCCGCCGGGGCGUGCAGCCCGGCCUGCCUAGCAGGUGUAGCAUUCUGGACAGCCCACUCGUCUGUUGGACUGUGAGCCACAGCCCUAAUCGGCGAUUCUGGGAGGGGCUCGUAGAAAGGCAACCCCUCACGGCCUUGGGCUUACAUCCUCUAUAGAGCGGCCUCGACGUCGUGGUGGGAGGCGCCGGGUUCAUGCCGCAGCGCCGUCUUGAUGCGUGCGAAGACGCCCCGCACCGGCACCACAGGCGGGGCGGUCACCACACGGCUGGCGGCACGGCCCUCCUGCAUUCCCUAUCCGCCGUUCGCCGGCGCCAUAGGGCCGGCCGCAGAAGCCCCCAUCACCUCCUACGUGAGCGGGGACCAGGCUUCGUUCCUGUCACCGCCGCGCAACAAGGCAUCUCCCAUGCCCAACUGUGCAGCCAGCGCCACCGCCUUGAGGAUGUAGUCCUGCAGGAGGUGUGCAGCGGCGUGUGCGCCACCCCCGGCCCCUCUCCAUAGGCCGCCAAGAGAUUGUGCAUAGCGUCCUGGAGCGCCGAAGCUUGCCGCACGAAGAGGCCUUGCAGCUCCACCAUGCCUCGAGAGCGAAGGACUUGUUCGUUAGGAAGUGGAGGCAGCUGAGAGCCAUUUACCUUGGUGUGCCGUCGCCCCCCGCCGUGCCUGCCGCUGCCGCUCCAGUCGCGCCUACGCGGUGAACGUUCCUAUUCACGGUAGGCGUCGUUGUGCCCCACCUUGUGCUGGUGCUGGGACCGUCUGUUCCGCGCGUUCCCAUCACCGCCGAAGCCGUUGUCAUCGUCGUCGGGCCUUCUUUGGUUCAGGUGCCUGUCCGCAUCUGGGUGGUCAUUGUUGUACCCACACCGGCCGCACGACUCCCUAUCCUUGUCUCGGUGCUCCUUCCUUGUCUCGCCUCCUUUCUCGCCGCCCUUGCGAAACUGGUAAGGUUUUGAGGGAGGAGGAGGGUGGUACAGGAACGUGGCUGGGCACCUCAACACCCUCAGCCACACCAAGAUGCCACUUUGGCAGUCGGCGCUUCGCUGGCGUCAAGGCGCCGUUGUGGUCGACCAUCAUGCGGGUGUAGUCGUGGAUCUCGUCGAGGUGCACAUAGAUGCAGUACUUGCAUCCUGCUGCCAGUGCUUUGGUGGCGUCUCCACCACGAGAACGGAGGUCAGCUGCUUGUCGCGCGCUCUGCUGGUGAAGGUGAGCUAGACCUUCUUGGAUAUGGCGCUCGGGUCCGUAGUCCAUGCCCACAGAUCGAUCAUCUUUGUCUCUGCGGGAUGCAUAAGAUUGGUUCCGUAGGACUUACUGAUGAUCUUCUUGGCGAUGUCCUCCGUCCACGCGUGCCCCGGGACACCGUCCAGGCAUAGGCGGACGUCCCGUCCAGGCAUAGGCGGACCCUGUACAGGAGCAUCACGCCCAAGGCGUGGUUCAGGCUGUGCCACUUAAUGAUGUGGAUCUCGACUCCCUGGCAGUUGGUGUGGCUCUACUUGGCCGCCUCAGCACAGUGCCUGCUAUACUUGAACCUGACGAGGAAGGCUUCCGGGUGGUGGUUGGUGACGGUAACUUCAUCUUGGCGCAGCCUGAACUCCUCACGAACGGUCGUGACAACCUCUGCAGCCCCAGUGCCCGGCAGCGUGCGCAUGGCCCAAGACACCAAAGCGGUGCUCUCCCACUUGUGGAGGUCCGCAUCGAUGGUGUAGGAGGUGGGGACGAUGCAGUCCUCCUCCUAGGGGUGAAUCGCGGCGUCACCCACCUGCAGCAUGGUGCUCCCUUCCACGCGCGGCGGCGGGGGCGGGAGCACUUCUUCUUGUGCUAGGGCGUCGCGGCGCGGACCCAGAUCUUGUCGAGCGGGGCUUGGCAUCCACGAGCAGGCGUGCUCCUUGUGGUGGCCCUGCAGUCGCACUCCUUGUGGCUGGAGCAGCGACAACGGAAGCAGUGGACUAGGUCACGGCAGGCGGAGGCGCGAUGGCGCGUGCUAAUGUAGAUAAAGCACCUACCCAGCAUCUUCUAGCGGAAGGCUUGUAGACCCGAUGAGGCAGGACCGUCCCGAGUUGAAGUGGGGCGUCGCCCCUGCCUUGAAUGCAUCGUACUCCGCCGUACCUCUGAUUGGUGACGUCCUGAGCGACGUCAGCUUUGAACGCAGCUCUAGCCUAGCUCCAGCUCCUCUACAGGCUGAGGUGGGGGUGACGCCGCACCGGGGUAGAACGGCGGUAAGCCUGCUGCGGAGGUGACCGUGGAGGUGAUGGGCAGUGUUGGGCGAAGUAAUUGCUCCCGGGUGGGAUAGUAAUGGCGGAUUGGAGCUGCUGUCGUGCUGGCCGUUGGGUACACGGUGGAAGGGAUGCAUGGCACGCCCUGACCACCUUCGCGUAGGUGCAUUGCACCUCCUCCAGCGUGUCGGGCACCAAGGACACCUCACGGGGACGCGGACGGCCGCAAUCCGGCGGGGGCGGCAGGGUCUCAGUGAAGUACCUGCUCAGACCUAGUUGUGAGAGUGGGAGGGGCGUCCGCGGGCUGCUGCACAGCUCGCUGUGGGGGCUGCUGGAGGAGGUCCACGAGGCGACCAUGACGCUGCAGGGUGAGGAUGGGCAGCAAAGGAGCUUGAGCUUGGAUGGCGGCAGCUGGGGUGCCGACACCGGCAGUGGGUAGGGGAGCAGCGCGUGCGGGGGUGGGCGAGCCAUUCCAACAUUAGCCUGUAUCUAAGAUGGUAGGACACUAGGAAACCUAACAUAAACCCACCAAAUCUCAUAAUUGUAGUUUGUUUCAUGAAUAUUUCUUCAAGAAUCCUAAUUGCAUUAUUUCUAAAAUGGCACGCAAUUCCUUAUUUUGCUCUGUUCAGUCGAUAUGUGACAGCUAGCAAUCUGCAAGCAUGUCUAUUAGCUUUUUUUAACGAACCACAUGUGAGUUUUUAUUUAUAUAGCAGAAAACACAAGACUACGAUCUUGGGAGGCCAUAGUUAGGAAAAGGAAAAGAAAUGAAAAAUAAACAAGACCCACCUUGUUGGAUUGGAACGUCAACGCGGGUAACCACACAACUCAAAUUGCCCGGUUGGAUUGGGACGUCAACACAGUGAGCAUGCAAACUCGACACAUCGACAAACCCGACUGGUUGGUUUGGGACAUCAACACGGCCGAACCACUCCACUCGACGACAACGACGGCAGAACCGAAGCCUUACCGCGGCGCGUUCCAACCUUCUCCCGCUCAUGUAAUCGCCAUAACCUCAAGACGCGGCUCCGUGGCGAUUGGGAAUCGAGAGAAACAGACCGCACCGCACCGAGAAGGCCACUGCCAUUCGGGACCCAUCACUAUAGUGCCGCUGCAACAGCACCCUCCACUUGAUGGGGUGAAACCACCAGAUCCGGACCUCUUGGAGGCUGCCUCGCAGUCGCCAUCGCGAUAAUACAACGCGCGGGGGCCUCGCCACACCCGCCGUUGGACUCCACCUCACUCUCAUCCCCUCAAAGAAAACACCGCACACGGGGGCCUUGCCACAUCCACCACAAUACUCCGUUUCACGGAUUCGUUUCUUAUGUCGUCAUCAGAAUGAUUAGCAAUGUUGCCCCAUUUCCUAAGAUCACCAUCAAACAACCAAACCACUGCCGUAGGUCGACAUCACCUCGUCGCUCCACCCGUGCAAAUAGACUUCACCACCAUGCCCACAUGCCAAAGAAGUUGCUUGCGCCAUCUUCCGACGAUGUACCACACCGGAGUCACCCAGCGAGGCUGAGCAACCCGCCGCAGUCCGUUGCAAACCUAGUCAUCUCACGAUGUCGUUGCUGCAAGCCCCGUCCUCUGACGUAGUCCCACGCCGCACAACGCCAGCCGUCGCGGUCCGCUGCACGCAGCCAAACUAACACCCAUGCGACAACCCCUGGCCGCCACCAUAACUGCGAUCGCCUCCACAUGAGUUUGGCAACCCCCCGUCAAGCGUGCCAUCCUGCACCAAGCCACCUUGCCGCGCUGCUAGCCCAUCAUGGUGGGACUGCCGCCACCGGCUACAGCCUCCCAUGACCAAUGGCGUCACCAGCAAUGCCACAAACCUAGAUUGGUCUCUAGAGACAACGCCUCCAGGGAAGUGACGAUGCCAAUAACACCGCCGUCGCUCAUCCAGAAUUUGGACAGGGUUUUCACCCAGAGAACCUCGUGCAACAGGGAUGGGGAUCCAAGAUGAGACCCCCAACGGGGAGAACGACGCCCUAGGGCGCUGUCGCCUUCGCCACCAGCAAGAUCGUCGGCAAAGACUUUCACCCGGAGUAUCCCAUCACUAGCCGCUGCAUGCAUACAGCCACGCAUUCCCAGGACCGCAGCCACGGAAGCCCUCCCAGGGGUGGCGCCGCUGUCGUGCCUCCUCGCUCCCUCGUGGUGCCUCCUCCCAGCCGCACCUGCGUCGCGCACCCUCACCCUCGCGCCCCACCUCCACGCAUCCAGUAGCCCACACGUGCUGUCACCGCACUGCCGCCAGCACGCCUCCGCGGCUUGUGCCACUCGCCCACCUUUGCGGCCCGCGCCGGCCGUCACCGGCCAUCACCGGCGCACCACUACGCGCCUUCGCGGCCCGCGCCGCUUGCCGCCCGCGCGCCGCCAGCAUCGCACAACGGAAGCAGGAUUGAAGCGGAAGGCGUAGUUCCAUCCGUACUCGCGUGUAGAGGGUACCCGCGGUGCCACCCAACUCAUGCAGCACGCCAUCACCACGCCAUCACCACGCCGUCGCUGCCUCGCGCGAGCAUGCGGAACAGGCCCACGGCCGUCGACCUGCCUCGUCGCCCCCACGUAAGGCCGCGCCUCCACCGGCUGCCAUGGCCGCAGCUCCACCCAGGGAAGGCACAAAUCCGGUAUGGGGACGGCAGAUCCACCCUAGGGAACCGUGGAUCUGGCCACCGAAGCGCUGGAGAAAGGCCCACCUUGCCGGAGAAAAGGGUGGCGCCCCCUGCCCGGCGUGCGUCCAUAGCUCGUCCGAAAUGUGCCGCCGCCACCUUCCUUGCGGGCGUCGGACUUUUGGCCAGCCGCUCUGGCGACGGUGAGGUGGGGAGGGGGAGGGAGGAGCCCAGCGGCGGUGCGACGGUGGGAGCCCCCCGUGUCGCGUGCGGGAGCGACGCGGGGGCGGGAGCUGUCUAUUGUAUCUAGUGGUUUCACUCCAUCGGGUGGAGGGUGGCCUAUUUCACUCGAUUCUUGUCGCCGUAGGGUCGCGCCUCAGCUCAGUUGUCUAUUAACAUUUGGUUGGCCCGUUUUAUUUGUCAGUAUCCAUCGUCCAAUUGCACGCGUCUCUACUGAAAUCAUGUAUUUACUGAAAUCAUGCAUUGCUUCCAGGUGUCGUUUCUCUCAAAUAAAUUCACUUAUUUAGUUUUGGCAACAGUUCUGCAUGAUGCUUUGACUCUCUGGAAUGUGUUGCAUAGCCGAUUAUGGUAUCCCUUUUCUCAUUUUCUUUGCUAAAAAGCACCCGUUGUCCCCCGUACAUUUUGAUUCUCUCAAGAUGGAUAAUGUUGCAGUGCUUCCUUUAAUGUUUAUAUCGUCAAGAAAACAAAUUCUUCUACGAAACAAAAGUUCCCUAUUUUCUUCUUGGUACCUCCCACAAAUAUUGGCCUUUAUGAACAACGUUUCAGGGGAAACUGAGCCUAGCCGUGUCAAUGAUUUCCUUUUUGAAACAAAACUUUUCUUGAAUAAGAAAAGUUUUUUUUCCUAAAAGAACAUUACAUUCAGUAAUAACCGCACAAAAAAAUAUAUGCCUCCAUCACUAAUGAAAACAGGGUACUUCCCAGAAAGUUCUAGGUUCUAUGUAGUCCUAUUAGUUUGCACAACAUGAAAAACACAUGCAGCUGCCUGCUAAUGGAACUUAAACACAACAAUAACUUUUCUUUGCUACCACAAGUAUUUGCAUUGCAUUGCAUAGGUCACCCAAGAUGGAUAGUGAUAGAGUGCACCAAAGAGCUGCACAGAUAAAUUGGCCAUAAGCCCACAACCAUGGUUUAUUUCAGAGUACGAAACAAGAUAAAUAACCCAAGAGGUACCAGCAGAAAUAACGAGGGUCACCAUUUUCUUCUACAAACUAAGCUGCUCCCUGGAGGUGAUAUGGACUUUCAUGGUAAGCUUCCUCUCGUUCUUCUUCCGUUCAAACAGAAAGAUGUCAAUUGUCAGUGACUCGUAGACCAUUACCGCCAAAAAAUUUGAGCCAACCACCUCUUAGAAUCACCAUUUUGGUCUUCCACAUCUUCCCAAUGCACUGGAGCACCAUGGUUUGCCCUCUAGCUGGAAGAUACACAACAGUAGCAUAUCGCGAACCUAAUUCCUGAUGCGUUGCAGAUGGAGAAUUAGGAGCACAUUGACAGGUUGACAUUUGAAGGAUUAAUUUGUAGGGUUUAUAUUAUUAGAGUUUUCAUAGUUAAUAUUUUCUGGAGGAAUAAGAUAUUUCUAAACGAAAGCAGGUGAAUAGUCUGACAUUCAGACAAAACAAAAGUCAUGUCCACAUCAACAAACCAGGUUAAGAUGACAGGAACAGAACCUGAUAAAAGAUCAGAAAACAAGCUCAUGUGAACUCGGGCUCAGCUACGAGUUUGUUUCUUCCAUGCAAAUGCAAUUUAGUUUUAAGACGUUAGAAGUCAUACUGGUAGUCGAAAUGAAAUGGGAUCUGUAACUGAUUAAACUAGUUAGAUUAUACAACUAUUUAUUAAGGGCCAGUUUCCUAAGUCUCAGGAUGGCCAUCAGAGAAUUAGGCAGACAAACUGAAUUCUGACCUCUUCCGGCACGGUUAAUUUCAGAGUACAAAACAAGCAAAAUAGCCAACAGAAAUAACAGGGGCGCCAUUUCCUUCUACUUCAAUUCAAGCUAAAACUGCUCCCUGGAGAUAAUUUGGACCUCCAUGGUAAGCUCUCUCUCAUUCUUCUUCAGUUCAAAGAGACAGAUGUCACCAACUCGCAGACUGUUGUCACGAACAAAUUCGGGCCAACCUACCCUCAGAAACAACCUGUGGCCAUUACGAAUCUCCAUUUUCGUAUUCCAUAUCUUCGCGUUGCACUGGAGCACCAUGGUUUGCUCUCUAACCGGAAGAUGUGCAGCGGCGUACUGUGUACCAAAUUCCUGAUAUGUUACAGAUUGGUGGUUAGAAACACAUCAUAUGAGUUAAUGACAAACUGACAUUGUCGAAGCAAACUGAUUUCUAGAGUUUAUAUUCUUCGAUGCCAUAGAACCUCUUUUCAGGGUGCAUAUCAUAUGGCAUUUCUGUGACAUAGUUGCAACUUGCAAAUAGUUAACAGUUGACAUUAGGUCCAGGAAAAAAACAUGUCCACUUCAACGCACCAAAUUAAAGAUGACAAGAACCACAAUCUGAAGAAUACGAAAUAAAUAAGAAUGAAACUUACUAGCAUCUUAUUAUGAGUGACAUCAACGCUGGUCCUCUUCAUUAUUACUACGUAGAUGGGAACUUCGGAUUGGAUGGCUCGCACUUUCGCUUCAACGAUCUUCUUUUGAGAUUUAGAUAGGCAGCUCAUGGCUGGUAGAAUGUAGGGAGGGUCAGAAGGACCUCCAGAGUCAUUGCUGUUCAGGGAAGCCUCAGAAAAUUCUUUCAUGCUACUCUCCGAGGAAACAUGUUCUCCUGCAAAUAGUUUUUCGAAAAUAAGAAAUGGAUGGUCCAAGAAGCUACAGAUUGUUGUUGUGUGUUCAUCUUUGGUACCAUCUGUCAACUCCUCAGAAGGACCUCCAGAGUCAUUGCUGUUCAGGGAUCCAUCAGAAACUUCUUUCAUGCUACUCUCAGAGGAAACAUGUUCUCCUGCAAAUAGUUUUUCAAACAUUAGGAAGGAAUGAUCUAAAAUGCUACAGAUUGUUGUCUUGUUCAUCGGUGAUACCAUCUGUCGACUCCUCCUUAAUAUGAACUACAGAAGUCAUCUCCGCACUUGAUCUAUCAUGGAAUGGGCCAACCCUUGGGAAGCCAACAGUUCCGCUUCCACCCCUUGGACAAGUGUCUGUUGCAUGAAGUAGAUAGACCGUCAACAUGAACUUUCUCCCACUCUUUGCUGGUAGGAGGAGGCAUAUAUCCCCUUCCUGCACAUGAUUGUCACGCACAAAGUCUAACCACUGCCCUCUAAGCAUGUACACUCUUCUGUCGUUUCUUAUGUAGAAUCUGGGAUGCCACUUCUUGCUUUUGCCUGGCCUCUGAAGUGUGAGAAAUGUGGUUUCGUGUGGAAAAUGUGCCAAUGCAUAUUCCUUAGAAAUAACCUGAUUACAGAUGGAACAUGAUUAGAUGUUGUCGACAAACCAUCAAGAAUACUAAACAAAAUAAUUUGGAUCAUCAAUCAUAAUAAAAGAAGAUCAUUUAUCUACAAAAAUGUUCGGAAGGUUCAUGAUGACUGGAAAAUAGCUCCUUAUGAUAUCGGCAAGAUUUACAUCAACUAUCAAGAAAAUUUUAAAGUUGAGAGAAGUGCAUGACCCAGCAGCCAGCAGAGACUCGUGAACUUACCAAGUAGGCGCCCGAGGUUUGGACAUUGCUCUUCCGCAUGAUUGAUACAAAAACAGUGACUUCAGGUUUGAUUUUUUGGAUAAGUGCAAUUACUUUCCCCUUUUGUGCUUCAGAUAGAUACCUUCUACAUGAUAAAACAUAACCAUCCCUGGGGGGUGUCUGAAGAUCAUCACCAGACUCAAAAGAUUUGUUUCUAGAAGGAGUGUCUUCUCCUGCACAAAAUUUCACAGGAAAACUAUCAGUAUAAGUAACAUAAAAUUCAAGGCAAAAAUGCACCUAAUUAACAGUAUAACCUGACUCCUCAAAGGACGAGGAUGUUGCAGCCAUUCUCCGACGGUGACUGGAGCUACUCCUCCCACACCUCGCAAAUCUUUCACUUUCAGAUGAUUCUGUGGUUUCAUGGCAAGAGCUGCUUGAAAUGUCAACUGAAUCCAAACUCCGUUCUUGAAUACUUGGUGUGUUUCUGACGCCAGCACAAGGAAAAACUUUCUCACAACCAUCAGAACCAAGGAUCAGAACCUCAAACCGAGAUUUCUCAAUAUGAUGAAAGAGCAGGAAGUCAUUCUCUUGGACGCGAUUGGCAUCAACAAAUGCCUCCCAUCCACGCUGAAGCACCGUCUUAUUAUAGCGCUCUUUGACUUCAACAUCAUACAGCCCGCCAUUAGGGGAUUCCAAGUUGAUUAUUCUUGACAACUUUCCUGCAAAACGCUUCACAAACCUGUUUGGUAUGAUCUGUAAUAGCAACAGCGAAAGGUUUUGAUGUAAAUAGAGCAACCCCUGUAAUGGCCAGAGUAACAGAAAAUAUAUGGUGUGAUGCAAGAUGUAUUUUCUAUGGUCAGGAAUGCAUUUGCAGAUGGAGACUACGCAAUUAACUAGCAGCUAUGAUGCCAUAAUACACUCGUGUUUUCAUGUACAGAGUUCACGAUAGCAAAGAACAGGAGCAGAGCAAUGUCAACAGUAUCAUUCGGAAGCUGGUGUGAGUAAAUUAGUUUUGUCGGGGAAACAGCUUGGGAGCUGCACUAGACUUACUUACAGAAUCAAAUGAGCAGUUUGGGCUAACUCGAAUCAAGUUUACUUGACAAAUCUUUGCCAUUUGCAUUCUGUUCAGUUAAAAGCUCUGGCUAGCUCGAAUCAAGUUUAUCAAAAGUACAAAGCAAGUAUUGACUUACUGCUUCCAAUGAAUCGAUCAUGUAAAACGAAACGAAGAAGACAAUAUAUGUAGGAACACUGCAAGAUUUCAAACUUACCAUUCUAUGUCUAGAAUUAGCAUCCACACGCCUGAAGAAAUAGCUCAUAGGUUGAUUCUUCCCCUCCAAAUGGUCCAGGUAUCUUCUGCAACACUUGCAGGGUUUCUUCAUUCGGGAACCACCACUUCUAGUUCUAGCCAUGACACAACUACCAUGCAAACGGUGAAACAGAUGAGAAAACGUCAAGAAAUGAAAAGCUUUUUGUACUGCUCAAAAGAAAGGGGAGAUGCGUGCCCUUACUUGGCUGAGAAGCUCCACCAGGAAGUGAGGAUGCAGAGAAGAACCUCAAAGCUACUACUGUUGGAGUAGUGCAGCAGAUGAGAAGCCGUCAAGAAAUGCAACGUUUUGCAAAGAAAGCUUUGCCCUUCAUCAAAGUCACUCCUUGCCUGCAGCACUGAAUACUAGUGAGCCCAACGUCGGAAGCACGCACUUCUAGAAAGUGUAUUCAGUGCAGGAGUUAUAUCCACCAAACAAACUACGGAUGGCUAUUGAUGCAGAACGGGCCGGAAGGGUGGAAAACAAAUUAAAAAUCAGACCCGUAUCCUCAUGUGAACUCGGCGGCCCAGACUAGAGAGGAAGAGAGCACUGACGCUACAGGAUACACAACUAGGUUGAAAUUAUGGCGCAGGCUUAGAUGUGACCCAUCAGGACUGACAUUGUCCAGUGCCUUUUUCUUUUUUUUUUGAGGACUCAAAAUUUAAUUGUUGAUUAGGGGUGUACAGAUAUUCGGAUGCUAAUUAGGAGGAUUAAAUCUGAGCUAAUUAUAAAACUAAUUGCAGAACCCUGUGCUAAUUCGCGAGACGAAUCUAUUAAGCCUAAUUAAUCCAUCAUUAGCAAUGGUUACUGUAGCACCACAUUGUCAAAUCAUGAACUAAUUAGGCUUAAUAGAUUCGUCUCGUGAAUUAGACUCCAUCUAUGCAAUUAAAUUUGUAAUUAGCCUAUAUUUAAUACUUCUAAUUAGCAUCCCAAAUAUCCGAUAUGACAUGUGCUAAAUUUUAGUAGGGUGUAUCCAAACACCCCCUUGGAGAGCAGAAUGCAUGCAUAGAUCAGGGUAAAGCUCCCUCGUUGAGCGUUUCGAAGUGCCGUGAGCACAGGACACAAGUCAGUGUGUGUGCAUUUUCCUUGGGAGUUCCUUCGAAGUGCCAUGAUUCCUAUGGUCCCUUGAUUUUCUGUGACAUGAUGGUCAUCAUGUGCUUAAUAUCAGUUAUCGGCAUGAAUAUUUCAAUUUUUCAAGCCCACUAGUAUUAUUUCAAAACCUUUUCAUGUUCCACAAAAGGUUAUCACUUAUCAGUUUCCUUCUGCAAAUGCAUUAGUGGGCCUGAGGUAGAGGUGAUCUUAUCACCAUUAACAUUGACAGGGUUUCUGCUGCAACUUUUCUACGUUCAUCGAGCUGGACCGAGGUAAAAAGGGACUGACACUAAGUUUGGAAGCGUAACCACAGAAAGAUAGGAUCAAUCAGCCCUCCAAAGUCAAAUCUGGCGAGGCCUUCAGCUUCUUCUUCUUUUUAGUAGUAGUAAUGGACUAUAUUAAAUCAUAAGCAGCUUACAGAUGUGGGAAUGAGUUGUUCCCACUCAAGUUGUUGCAAUGCUAUUGCACUGGGCAAGGAGUAGCAUGACUAAUUCUAAUUGCUUGAAAGGAAAUGAGCAUGGCCGAUGUGCAGGGAAUGAACACGAAAGAAAAUAAAAAUCACAAGAGAUUUGAAGUCGCCGUGCUAAUGAUCCUCUCUUCUAGGAACUGUCCUAGGCCCUUUAAAAAAAAGAAAAAAUGAGCUGUCCUAGGCUUAAUUGGUGCACCACCUAGAUUUGACUCUUCUUAUAAUCGAGUUUAAAUGCUUAUUUUUUUUCAAUUAAUGAAAAAUUGCUUAGCUCCUGCUUAGGUUGGUUCUCGUGUUUUUAUCAUCUGCUGAGACUGGUCCGGUAUAUUUUGGAUACUUCUUCAUCAAUGGAAAGAGGGCAAGAGCUAUUAAGUUAUCGUCCCCGCAUCUCGCAUUACUUUUCCAAACUGUAAAGCAAGAAUAGUUUUAAGUUCAUUUUACUCCCAUAAAUUUGAACAACAUGCAAAGGACAUCCAGCAUUCUGCUAAAUGUAAGUAAGCACACAAGUCUUAAUUAGCACAAGCUGGUGUAAUACUAGCGAGCAAAAGACGUUGCAUUUGUCAACCUGACAAACAGUUCAUCUACACAAUAACACGAAGCAAUCACCAAAGAAAGACAAACACCGAAAUUACUAAGCCUCUAAGGAUGGAUAGUGCAUCGCCAUAAGAGAGUUGGUGGCCUGGCCAUACCAAAUGGACCAAUUCCAGACUACAAAACAAGCAGAAACAACAGGAGGUACAACAUUUUGCUAAAACUGCUCCCUGGAGAUGAUAUGGACCUUCAUGGUAAGCUCUUCUUCAGUCUUCUUGAGUUCGAACAAACAGAUAUCACCGACUCUCAGACCAUUAUCACGAGCAAAUGUGGACCAACCUCCUACAAGAAACCACCUUCUCCUUCCACCGUGAAUCACCAUUUUGGUCGUCCAUAUCUUCUUCAUGCACUGGAGCAGCACAGUUUGCCCUCUAUGUGGAAGUUGUGAGGUCGCGAAUUGUUUUCCUAAUUCCUGAUAAAUUUUACAGGCAGAACGUUAGAAACAUUUACAGUUAAAAGGUUGACUAGCUUAGCUAUUGAAACAAACAAAUUUCUAGGAUUUACAUUGGCACACACUAUAUACUUGAUUUUUUUCUCGAACACGCAAGAGAACUGCGUAUCAUUGUAUUAAUAGAAGAAGAAAUGAGACCCUCCCCCCCCCCCCCCCCCCCCCCCCCCACACACACACACGAUAGAGAGACUUAAUCGCCUUUUGCAGAAAAGAGCGAUCCGAGACCUGGGACAUCAGCCUAACCAACAUCCCUAACCGAAGGAAAGGCCCUUAGCUCCUGCCAUAGCCCACAGCUGGGCUUCAUCCCUGGCUUGGCUCAAGGUAUAGUAGUACCAACGCUUGGAGCAGUUCCAUUAAAGACGCAGUCAUUGCGGUGCUUCCAGAUGCACCAAGCGCCAAGAAUGAUAUACUUGAUCAUUUCAGAGGAAUCAUGAUAUUUCUGUGAUGCAAUAGCAGAUAGUUUGCUGAUCUGAAAGUGGGUGAUUAUAUUGUGGCAUUCAUAUUUCAUAUGAUAGAAGUCUGCCUACUUUAAUAAGCUAAAGGUUUAUGAUAGUUUGCUGAUCUGAAAGUGGGUGAUUAUAUUGUGGCAUUCAUAUUUCAUAUGACAGAAGUCUGCCUACUUUAAUAAGCUAAAAGUUUAAGAUGACAGCGAACAUAAUAGAUAACAAAUAUAUAAUGUUAUAGGAUCAAACUAAGAAAGAUAACUUACUAUCAAGCGGUAACGACGAGUGACAUCAACAUUUAUCUUCUUCAUGAUUGCCACAAAAAUUGGGACUUCAGAUUGGAUGGCUCCCACCAUCUCUUCAACAAUCUUCUUUUGUGAUUGAGAUAGACAACUCUUGGAUGAUACAAUGUAGGGAGCCUCAGAAGGACCACCAGAGUUGCUCUCGGAAACAUUGUAUGCUGCAGAAAAUGUUAGGCCAUAAGAAAGGAAUAAUCUCUAUAGUGCUACAGAUUCUUAUGUUUUUCUAUGAUACCAUCGGUUGAUUCUUCCUUAAUAUGAACCACUGAAGCCAUCUUUGUGCUUGAUCUACCAUUGCAUGACCCAACCUUUUGAAAAGCUGCUCCACCCCUGGAAUAAGUUGCUGUUGCGCGAAGUAGAUAGACUGUAAAUGUGAAUCUUCUCCCACCCUUUGCCGGUAAAAAGAGGCAGAUAUCUUCCUUCUGCACAUGAUUGUCACGGACAAAGUCUAACCACUGCCCACUGAGCAUGAACAUACGUUUAUCUUUCCUUUCGUGGAAUCUGGGGUGCCACUUCUUGCUCUUGCCUGGCCUCUGAAGUGUAACAUUUGUUCUUUCAUGCAGGCAAUGAGAAAAUGCAUAUUCCUUAGGAAUUGCCUGAUUAUAGAUGGAACAUGAUGUGAGGCUCUUAACAGAACCAAGUACAAUAAAGAAGGCAUUUCAGUCCUCAAGCAAAGAAAACGGUAGUUAUUUGUCCCUAAGUGUUAGAAGGGUCGUGAGAAUUUGAAAAGGGAUGAGCUUACCUUAUUAUAAUAUUGGGAACGUAAAUGUAAAGCAUUAUUUAUCAAAGAAAUCUCAUACUGAUAGAAAUGAGUUGCCUUUUCAACAGGAAAGGGUAGUUAUAUUACCAGAUAAGGACCUGGUUGCUCAAUAUGGCACUUCCUCAUGACUGCUACAUAAACAGUACUUUCAGGUUGAAUUUCCUGUAUAAGUGCAAUUACUCUCUCCUCUUGUGCUUCGGACAGGUAACUUCCACGUGAUAAAACAUAAUCCGGCCCUGGGUUGGUCUGAAGAUCAUCCGUCUCAAAGGAUUUGUUUUCAGAUAAAUUGUAUUCUCCUGUACAAUAUUACACGACAAACUGCAGGAAUAAGUGGAUUUAAAAUUCGAGAAAAUUAUGCAACUGAAUUAACAGUAUAACCUGAGCUCUCAGACGAUGAGGAUGUUGCAUCCAUCUUUGCAGUUUUCCCACAAUGACUAGAGCCACCCUUUUCACAUCUAACAAGUCUUUCACUUGCUGAUGAUUCCGAGGUAUCAUGACAAGAGCUGCUUGAAAUAUAAAGAGAAUCUACUGUGUUUUCUUGUAAACUUCGGUUGUUUUUUAUGCCAGCACAGGAAAACACUUUCUCACAGCCAUCAGCAUCGAAGAUCAGAACCUCAAAAAGUGAGUUCUCGAUGUGUCGGAACAGCAAGAAAUUGUUCUCUUCUAUACGAUGGGCAUCAACAAAAUCCCCCCAUCCAUGUCGGAGUAUUACCUUAUUAAAGCGCUCAGUAACUUCAACAUCAUAUAGAUUACCGUUAGGGGACUCUAACUUGAUGGUUCCUGACAACUUUCCAGCGAAAUGCUUCAGAAAUCUGUUUGGCAUGACCUAUAGUAACAAUUGCAAGAAUAUUGAUGUAAACAGCACAAUUCAGAGUAACAAAGUGAAAUAGCAGGCACAACACCAGAGAGCAUAUACUGUCAUGCACAAAAUCGACAGAAGUAAAGAUUGGUUGUGAAACAAAGCUAUGUCAGAAGCUAAUAUGAAUAAAUUAGUUUUGUCAAAAAAUAAGCUGGGGCGUGGCCACACUGACUUAUCAAAAGUCUAAAACCAUUUGGCACAACAAUCAAUAACAAGCUUUAUAUAAUAUUCUGACUGACAGGAUUUACCAACCAUUGGAGAUUUGUAAGGCUAAAUAAAUUUUGAUGAGAAAUCAUGUGCGUGGGAUUGAUGCAGAUGGUAUUUACUUUAUUUAGCAGUGAUCAACAGUAUGCUCUAGAAGACUCAGAUACAGGAAACAUACUAAGUCUCUGGCAAGUUGAAGCUGAUCCUAAUGCAGGGUGACAUACAAGCCUCUGCUACUGUUUUAAGAUUGUACAUGUCACAGAAACACUGAAGUCAUUUAUGAAUCUUGGAAAUCUGCAUCAUCUUCAGUUAGCACUAGCAGUUCUGGCUAGCUCGAAUCAAGUUUACCAAAGUACUAAAGGUCUAAAGCAAAGUAUGUGCAAGAAGACUCAUACAUGAAAAGCACUAAAUCUCAGGCAAGUUGAAGCUGAUCGUGAUGUAGGGCGACAUACAAGCCUACUCUGCUAUUGUUUUAAGCUUCUCAUAUCACAGGCAAGUUGAAGGAAUAUAAAGUUCUGGCUAUAGCUCGAAUCAAGUAUACCAAAGUACUAAAGGUUUAGAGCCAUUAUAUCCACUUAUUAAUUCCAACAAAGGAAUCAUGUCAAACAAAAAGGGAAAAACAAUGCAUGUUGGAAAACAAGCAAGAUAUCAAACUGGCUUACCAUGCUAUGCUUAAAAUUGGCAGUCAUAUGCCUGAGGAAGCAGCUCAUAUUUUGAUUCUUUCCAGCUAAGUGGUCCAAGUAUCUUUUGCAACAAUCACAAGGUUUCUUUCGGGAACCACCAUUUCUAGCCAUGACAACUGAAAUUUGCAUUUUACACGAUAACUCAGAUGGCAUAUUCAUUCUUCAAUAAAAAAGGAAACAAUGUUGUGUUGUACAGAAGAGCAUUGUAUAGCCAUAAAAUCAACUAAAACUACCAUGCAAAGUUGCAAACAGCCGAAUAACAGCUCCUGGCUCUAAUACUUUCAUUUCUUGCUACUCAAAAGAAAGGGUAGAUGGGCUUACCUUCUUCACGAAGCUCAACCAGAAAACGGUGAUGUGGAAAGAAAGCUGGAAGCUAGGUACAUAUAGAGACACCAGUGACGCAUUCAUCACUGCAUGACCAGUAAACAGAAGUGAUGGAUGGGUGAAGUCGGCGCAAGCAUCUUUUCCAAUCAAGGCAUCCACCAAAUGCAGAGGCAAUCAUAUCUCUUCUGAAAGGAGCUUCAUGGAAUGACAGUUCAGUAUACUCUAGGCAAAGAAGUCUAAAAUUCGGAUAUUCACCCAAAGAUGAAAGGGAAUCUGCAGAAGCUGUCAUGACUAGCAAAUCAAGUACAGAAGAGAUUCCCCAGUACUCUAGUCUGAAGUGUACCUGCAUCAAGAUCCCUUCUUCAGAGUUGGGAUCGGUCCUUGCAAACAUGAUACUUUACUGACCAUUAUAUGGAGAGAAGAAAAUAAAGGUGCUUAAUGCUGAUGCCAACUCAGCCACCAGUCUCCAGAGCGACACUGACGUUUCAGGUUCUUUUGGGAGAUUCCCUGGGCGUCUGAAAUUAUGCAGGUUGCAGAUGCGUCAGAUAAGACUCAUAGCCAGUGCCUUCUCCUUGGGACAUGGUGAAAUGUAUCGAAGUUCUACAGAAAAUGUGAACUUAUAUACACACGAUGGAAUGUGUUUAUUGAAGUAUUCCCGUAUAAGCAAACAAACCAGGAAGCUUAGAAAAUGAAUUUCAUUCUGCAAUGAAAAUGAUUUUAUCACCAUGGACAGCCUGAACGAUACAACUCUGAUUUGCUCCUGGACUGCCCAUUUCCGCCCAACCCACAAGUAUCGCCGUCGGCGAGAAGCGAAGGGAGUCGGAUCAAAAACAGAUGGGGCAAGCUCGGACCUGGAUUCCGUCGGCAGCGAGCCUUCAGGUGGCACGCGCACAAGGAGAGCUGGUGCCCUCUGCCCUGCACUCUCCGAGCAGGGCAACGCCGAGCGGUCUCGGCUUCUCCCCACGAUGCCGCUUCCUCCAGUCAAGUCAUCGCCUCCUCCACGUCCGCGCUGUCUCUCUCCGCGGAAGCCCCGGCGAGCAUACCGCCGAGGCGGGGGCGGCGGAGGGCAGGGGAAGCCAGCGCGCCCGGGUUCGGAGCAAACGGCUAAUUUUGCCUUGACCAUACCCUUCGGGACUAGGAUGAGUUGGAUCAACAUAACGUCCCCCGGUUUGGAGAAAUUUCCUGAUUUAAAAACUUGCAUAUGAAAUCCAUGUAAAUAUUCUUGCAAUUUAAACGGACGCUGAAGUUCUCAAAGCGAGUCCAUAGAACAAUUGAACUGAACACAAAUGCUUAUAAUGGUUAAAAGGGAACAAUUAAUUGUUAAGUUUUCCGGUGGAUCCGUAAACUCCGAAUUUUGAGAAAUUUCAGUUUCUUGUUUAAGACGUACUCAAAGCAGGAGGAAACAUAGUUGAAGAUUAAUCAGAAGGAAUCAUAAAAUAUGAAAAGGAGAGAUGAAAGGAAGAAGAAGCAAGGAUGGAUGGCACGCGCUCGCUGAUGCUGAUGGGUCGGUCUCGUCGUGGGGCCCCUUGCGUGCCAGUUUAGGCCCAGCCCAUUUGAACCAAAUACUCCAGCAGGGGGCCUCGUCGUGGGCCCUUGCGUGCAAGUUUAGGCUCAGACUAUUUUGAACCAAAUAAGCCACUCCCGACCCAUCAGGAGGAGCGCAGGGGGCUCGUCGUGGCCCAUUUGACUAUUAAGCCGACGUAAGGCUUACGCUCGCCAGUCAAAGUGCAUGCAUGUGGGCCGGUGUGCAACUAUACAAUUAUUAUGAUGCUAACCUGACAUGUUGUUGACCAUACAAAUGAUUGCUAAAGUAACGGAUGAAAUGCUUGUGGCACCUGUUUUUCAUGCAGCAGGCAUCUGAAUAUCUGGUAUUGGAUCCAAGCACCUGCUACGGAGGCCAAAUAAAUCUUUCAGCUAAAUUUUAAUACUAGGUUGGAAAAGGACAAUUCGUAAUAAAAAAAAUAUAUUCACGCGAGUUGGAGAGGAACCUGUUCGCUUCAGCUUAUAAGUCGGCUGAAAAGUUGAAACGGCUGAUUUGUUGUAAGAGAAAAAUACUGUUUAGUAGCUGAUAAGCCGGCUGAAUAAGCUGAAGCGAACAUGUCUUAUCGGGAACGCAAAAAGAUACGGCUAUACGGGCAGACGGAAAAUGAUUGUGUGUAAGCGGCUGAGCCUGGGCGCCUGGCCAUCUCCGGCUUGCCGAGCGGCCGUCGGCAGGUCGUCGUGCCACGCCACGCCUCUCCAGUUCCGCCGUCCAACGUCGGUCUCCGGUCGAAUAAUCCUGCCUCGCAUCGCAUGCGAGAAGAAAGCCAUAGCGCGUGCCGGCGGGCCGGGCGGGCAUAUUGGCGCAGCCCAGGCGGGUCCAAGCGCAAGGCGCCAAGGGCGGCUAGCACCCGUAGCUAGCGUAGCCGCAGCUACGUGCCGACCGGUCGGCGUUGCCAUGCAAAAGGAGGGGGCCAUCGCCAUGCCGCCAUGGCCAUCCCAUCCCUUCCCGUGCAUGGCGUUGGAAUGCUAGCCGCCUUGUCAGGCAGCAGCUGCUCCUGCUCAGGCGUGAAUGCGUGAUCGAUCGAGAUGAUGACCGAAUUGGCGCCUACAGUGUACGUAGUGCGCUAGCCGAUAGGCUGCUGUUGGCUGCCAUGCAUGCAUCGGGGACGGCGCCGGCCGGCCCGGCGGGCGCGUAUGCCGGCCUUGUCACGGCGCGGCGUGGCGCGGGACAGGAGCGAAGCGAGGGCCCGGCCGGGUAGGCGGUAGGCCGCCACGCCAGAAUCCAGAUGUGACCGGGCGCGUCAAAGGCUGCGGCGGCUCAUGUUUCUGCCCGGGCCUCUCCUUGCUGGUCCUCCUGGCUCCUGCUGCCUCCUGCGGGUCCCGUCUCAAGGUGGGAGAAGAGGCCAUGCUCGGUCGUGGUCGCUGGUCCGGGGUGCAUGGCGGUGACAGCAACGCGUCGGCUGAAUCGUCCGGCGGUCUUCCAUCGCCUGCGAUGCAGCAUGGGGUCGGUCAAGGACCCAAGGACACACAGGGCGAGUAGGGAUCGAUCGGUAUCUGGAUAGGUGUCUGUUUGCCGGCCGGCCGGGCGCCGCCUCGGUUGCAGCACCCUUCAGGCUCGUCUCUUCUCGUUACGUCGUCCGUCAUCGCCCGCUGUGCCUGGAGGACGGACUAGUACCAUACGAUUCACAUGCACCUACAGGCUAUAGUCUGUCCUAUGUACUGAGUAGUGCUGAGUAACAUUACAAAGAACCUGGCCAGGACGCAUAUAGAAACCGAAUCCCAUGGUGGCUCAUUAUGGGUGCUGGAUUCCUUUGCUUAUUUUUACCACGUGUCAUAUCGAAUAUUUAGAUACUAAUUAGAAAUAUUAAACGUAGACUAUUUACAAAACUCAUUAUAUAAGUGGAGGCUAAACGGCGAGAUGAAUCUAUUAAGCUUAAUUAAUCCAUCGUUAGCAAAUGUUUACUGUAGCAACACAUUGUCAAAUCAUGGACUAAUUAGGCUUAAUAGAUUCGUCUCGUCGUUUAGCCUCCACUUGUAUAAUGGGUUUUGUAAAUAAUCUACAUUUAAUACUCCUAAUUAGUAUCUAAAUAUUCGAUGUGACGGGUGCUAAAAAUAAGCAAGAGUAACCAAACCCGGGCUAUGUUCUUUCGUCGUCUCUAUGACCUUGAUUGGUUGAGAUACAACCGUGAACGAUGAACCACAUCCAUUCUUGUUCUUCGAACCAUUCGUCAAAGUACAACACCCUCUUGCACUAGGCGGGGUACUAUUACGAAGACUGAAAACUUGUAAUGUGCCUGUUGGGUCUCAUCUGAUGAAACUCCUCUCUCAUCUGAUGAAAUUUUUUCUCAUAAUAACCUUACUAAGUCAGCAAUUUUGCUGACGUGAUAAUAAAUUUAAUGUUUAUGAAAUUUCUAUGGAACCUUAUUGAAACUGACCUUAGUUUCAGUUUCAGCCUUGGCCAAGCUUGGUCUUGGUCCAGGGUUCCAACCUCCAAGCAAGCAGCCCCUGGAACCGCCCGCAGCUCCGCUAGCUAUCUCCAGCAGCACCUCCCUCACCUCCGACGGACAAGCCCCUGACCCUGAGCCGCCGCCACGAAAGCGUCCGCCGCCGUUGCCAUGCCCCUACGAUCUCACCUACUGCCCACAACGGACGACGACCAGCCUCCUGCAAAUCUGCAAUGUGAUCGAUCCAGCGGCAGGAGGCGCCGCCAUUGCCCGGCCUCUUGCCGCGCCGCCACCCCUCUACAAAGGAGCUGAGGUAGGUGAACCCGGCCCGAAUUAACCCCACACGGCGCGGCGAUCCCGAGCAGCAACUGCUAGACAAUCACAAACCGUGACGAGGUACAAUCAGCGAAUGGAGUCUGUCGACUCAGAUUGUUCAGUCAGGCAACUGACAUCAUCAACACUCCGUUGAACGAACCUACCUAGUGUGUGACUCCUGAUCGAUGAGUGAUGAGUGCAGGCUGCAAUAAGAAGAAACGUCACUACUGGACCAUAGCGAGCGAUAGGACAUUCUCCCUGUUGGCAUUGUUUUGUUUGAUCGGACGGCGCACAAUCGAUGAUGGAUAAGACCGUAGGAGUCCACUCAGUUCAGGAUUCAGGAGGCGUGAUCUCUGCUAGGAUAGGAAGCUACUGAGCAGCUAGGAUUCCUUGGCUGCGACUGCAUGCAAGGGAAAGCUACUGCUCGGCGGUCCGGUGUGGGUGUGGCACCCCCACCAGCCUGAGCCCACUGUCCUGGCUGCGCCCUACGUACUGGACCCGUCAGCCUUCUGUCACCAUCCGUACCCAUCAGUCUUCUUCAAUCUCUGUCCCUGUCCGCAGCCACCAGCAACUAGCAGCAGCAUGCACGCGCGUAUAUAUACCACCACUGGGCCGGCGUCCCGGAACAGCAAGAGUCAAGAAGCACAAGCACAAACGCACAGCGACCAUCUGAUAGGAUCGUCCUCGUCCCCCAGUGGCCCAGUGCACCAGCUUCUCCAGCGGCAGGCAUCCAAUGGCGGGCCAAGUGAUGGAGGCUCACGCUCAUCAUCAGGCGCGGCUGCAGCCUCCGGCAGUGCCGCCGUUCGCGCCGCUGCCGCCCAGCUGCAAGAACGACGUCCACCAUUUCCCGGCCGCGAUGGCCACGCCCGGCUCCAACGCCGCCGCCGCGGCCGACAUGGCCGCCUACCUCCAGCAGCUGCAGGACACCGCGGCGGCCGCCGCCGAGGCGAACAAGAGCAGCAGCGGCGGCAAUGGCGGCGGCGCGGCGCGCGGGGAGCAGUGCCCCCGGUGCGCGUCGCACGACACCAAGUUCUGCUACUACAACAACUACAACACGUCGCAGCCGCGGCACUUCUGCCGCGCCUGCCGCCGCUACUGGACAUUGGGCGGGUCCCUACGCAACGUCCCCAUCGGCGGGUCCACGCGCAAGCGCCCGCGCCUCGCGCAUCACCACCAUCACCACCAGCAACAGCCGGCGGCGGCCAGGCGCGCCCCGGUCUUCGGCCUCGGCCUCGGCGGCGGCGGCGGCGCGCAUCCUCCGAUGCCGUCCUCGUCGUCGUCGCAGGCGGGUGGCCUCCUCGGCUCGCUGUUCGCGCUCGGCGCCGCCGCGCCGCUGCUCGACGGCCCCGCGGCGCCGAUGCUGGAGGGCCGCGGCGCGGGGUUGUUCGACCUCGGCCUCGGGCUGCCGGUACCAGGCGGGGCCGUGGGCGGCGCUGGCGAUGCGGGCGUGCAGAUGCAGGGCCUCGGGCUCAUCAGGGGAGGCGGCGGUGGCCACGCCGGCGGGGCGUCGUCGGGGCUGUUCUGGCCUGCCGGGCUGCUGGACAGCGACAGCGUGGACACGUGGAAGAUGCUCCCCGGCGUCGGAGCGGGUGCAAUGUGGCCGGAGUUCUCUGCGGCGGCGGCGCCGGCGCCACAGGCAGGCGGGCUGCUGCACGGCGGCGCGCAGCUCAUGUGAGAGUGCACGCGGCCGGCCGUCUUCUCCUUCGUUGGUUCCCCAUACAGUAUAAGCGCUCUAUAGGCAUGCAGUGCAGCUCUGCUCGCAUGCGUACGUAGUCUGUUAAAAAUUUUUGUUCAGGUGCCCUGCGAUCCAUGUCUUCGUUUGUGUCGUGUCCUCUGUGUCCUGUUGCCCGUGUUAGAUGGCUAGAAAGGGCCCUAGUUUGCAGAGCUUUGGUCUCUAGCUAGUAGAGUGUGGUCAUCUAUAUCUCUGUGAUAGUCCUAAAGACUAGCGUCUCUUGUAUGCAUGUGAAUGUUAAGCUUUAUUAUGGUAUAAGUGAUUUACAGGUCAACAAAAUUCUGUUUUUGUUAAUCAUCUGUACUGUCUCGGAUCAACAAUUGGCCAUCCAAUUCCUGAGCGUGCACUCUAGCUAGGAAAAGAAUUGAUCACUGACUUCUCUGUAUCGUUAGCUCAUCGAUCUGCACGUUUUCCUUCCAGAAUUCGUUUCGACAUGUAUGUGUAAACUGUAAAGGUAGGUGUUUUGCUCUGAAAUCCAAGGGUACCAAUAUCUUGACUUUUUUUUAAUACGUGCAUAGCACGUUUUUCAUUAAGAAUAAGAGAAUUGCAAUGCAACUUCAGGAGAGAUCUCAAAGCGCAGGGCUACAAGAACCACCACCUUAGACCAACAACAGAAAAAAGAAAAUCAUAGCACCACCACCACACUAAACACAACCUAAGACGACUAAAACCUAUAGGAAAUAAGGACACCAAUAACACACGCACAUCACCGAUUGCCUAACAACCCGGAGCCAGCAGAGGUACAGCGAGAAUGUCAUGCAGAACGAUACCUCCAAGGGGGAGCGCCAUCACUUGUCUAUCCACCGAGGAGCAGACCAAGUCUUUACCUGGCAAAACCAAAUGGAUUUGGUGGCCGCAACAACGCCCCUAGUGAGGUGCUCUAAGGAACGUAACGUUGUCGGCACCGACGAAUGCCGAGUAAAGCUUUCGCUAAGGCCCCAAAACCAACUCCACGCAACCGACCGCCAGGCCUGGAUGAGAACCAAAUUGAUAGGAUGGCAGCGAGCGAUCCACGGCGACGACGAUGGGGAACAUCCGUAGGCCAGCGACCGGUAUCAUGAUGACCCAAAGAUGACCAGGGGCGACCGCGAUGACAAAAAGACGAUCAGGGGGGAGAGGGGAGCCGAGGGCCCCAACAACACUCGACGACGAUGAUUCGGGAUGACCCAUGGUAGUGGCAGUCGCCGUGGGAUGGCGGCAACCCGAAGCACCAUGGGGAGGAUGAAGACCCAUCCUCCCAUCCCUGCCAGCGAAGAAGAUGGCUAGAGGACACAUGACCCACGAGCGACAACCAUCGGCAGGAGCCAGUGCCGGUCCUAAGUUUUUAAGGGUCCUCUGGCGAACUCGUCACGAGGGCCCUCUAAACUAUAUAUAAAUUUUAUAAUAUAUAUAAGCGCUAUUUUUUCUUGCAAAAACAAAUCUAGUAAUAUAUUUUUAAUUCAACAUGUUUGAUAAUUAUCGAAGAACAAUAAAGACUAAAACUAAUAAGAUUACCUUAAGGAAGAUAGAACUCCAUAAUAUACAUUGCUUCUCAUAAAAAUAUAGUUCUUCGGGCAUUUCUUGAUGCAAAAUCAUCAAGGACGGUAUUGAGAUCAAUAGUGUCCAAGAUAUCGCUCUCGAUGGUGCACAUAGCCAAUCCAUUUAACCUUUCUUGUGACAUAGUUGAUCUCAAAUAGUUCUUCAACAACUUCAAUUUUGAGAAACUUCUUUCUGCCGAAGCUACAGUCACAGGUACAGUUAAGAGGAUUCGAUAGGCAACUGAAACAUUUGGAUAGCAAUCUGCAGCUAUAACAAACUCCAGAAUCUCAAGCGCUGACAUCAAAGAAUCCGGCAAAGUCACUUGUAGCACCUUUAAUUCUGAAAAAAAAUCAUUGAUCUCAACAUCGGAUGAGUUAUCCUGAGAAAUUUUUUUCACAAAAUUCUUGCAGUGCAGCCAAAUAUCAGCUUCAUCCAAAGAUUUCAAAUUUUUUGAGUUGAACAAGAACCCAAAAAUGUUAUCAAAUUUUUUCAUCUGCUCAAAUCUACUAGUCAAUGAAGCAAUUGCAGCAUCAAUCAUAACAUUGAAGUACUCUACUCUAAAUGAGUCCACAACAGAUCGUUGUAUUUCCUCAUCUUGGUCAUCUUGUUCAUAAAAUUGUUUCUUUCUCUUUCCUUGACGUUUUGUACAAAAUUUUGGCUCUAUAUCCAUUUCAGAUGCAAUAUUUUUUCCUGUAUCCAUACUAGAAGUGAAACCUUCAUCUCUAUACUUCUUAAAAUAUGAUAUGACACCUUCAAUAUGUUUGAGAGUAUCAUCUAUACUCACAAUUUUAAAUUGCAACUUCUUGCUCACCUUAUCUAUAGAGAAUAAAAUAUCGUGCCAAAUAACCAAACCAACUAAAAAUUCAAUAUUCUCUAGUGCACUCACCAAAGAUUGACAUUCACUAACUGCCAUUGGAUCAUCAGUUGAAGCCUUCUCUAGCACUAUUAAAGCUGAUCUUAUUUGAGGAGUUUGGAAUCUGAUAGCUUGAACACUUUUUAUUCGACUUUCCCAGCGUGUAUUAGACCAUGACUUAACUAUCAAUCCUGGAAUAUUGUCCACUAAAAUCUUCCACCUUUUAGUAGAUUUUGCAAACAAUGUGUAUAUAUGUUGGAUGAGACCAAAAAAGAAAUAGCUUGCCUGCAAGAUUUAACAAAUAGUAAGUUUGAAACUUUUUCCCAAAACAUGACAUAUUAUAUGAAAACAAUGUAUAAUAGAAAUAAUAGUUUACCCGCAAGAUUUUCCCAUAUCACAAAGAGUAAGAUUCAGACUAUGACAUGCACACGGCAUGUAUAGUGUUUUUCGAUUAAUUUCAAGCAAGCGCUUCUGAACACCUUGGUGAGAACCCUUCAUAUUUGAACCAUUAUCAUAGCCUUGUCCUCUCACAUCAUCAAUAUUUAAAUCAAGGGUGGCCAAUACAUUAUUUAAUUCAUUAAAAAGACCCAAUCCUGAUGUGUCAUCUACCUUCAAAAACUCUAGGAAGAACUCCUCUACCCUUGGAACAUUCCUCGACAUAUUGACACACCGAAUAAUUAGAGUCAUUUGUUCUUCAUGGCUCACAUCUGGAGUACAAUCUAAAAUCACAGAAAAAUACUUUACAUCUUUGAUGAUCUUUAGUAUAGUUUUUUUCACACAAUCUGCAAGAAGAGAAAUCAUCUUAUUCUGAAUUUUAUGCCCAAGAUAAUGAUGAUGAAUCUCAUUAUUUUGAAUCUGCCUAAUAUGGUCUUGCAUCACGGGAUCAAAUUCACCCAUCAUUUCAACUGUGCCCAGAAAGUUACCAUUGCUAUCUUGAUAUCGUUUCUCAUUUUUCCCUCGAAAAGCCAAAUUGUGUUUAGCAAGAAACUUGAUAGCAGAAACAAUUCUUACUAAAACUUGUCUCCAACGCUCUCUCUCCUUUGCAAUUUCUCGUUGCAAAUCAUCAUCAAUCGUUUUAUUUUUGCUCAAUCUUAGCCUAACUUCAUUCCAAGUAUUCAUGUUUGUUAUAUGCUCAGCACUGUUCUCAUGUUGCUUAAGUCUAAGACUAAGAUGUUUCCAAUCCCUCAAUCCAUCAUGUGCUAGCAAACUUUUGCUCUGACUUGAUUUGAACAAUUUGCAGCAAAAACAAAAAACUUUGUCCACAUAUUUAGAGUAAACCAACCAUUUUCUAUCAACCACCUCAACAUUGCUUAACUUUCUGGAGUAGUAAGUAUAUGAAAAAUGUCUAUUAAGAGCAUCUACAGGGAACUCAAGAUUCAAUUCUCUCACCGGCCCCUUUACAAUCAAUAUAUCUCUACCCUUAUUAUCAAGAUUUUCCCAAAUUCUAGGAUCAAAGACAUCAUGAAUAGAAGCUUCUUGCACAUCAUCAAUUGAAUUUUCAGGUUGAGAGGAAGGCUGUAAAUUUUCAUUCUUUGUAGCUUCAUCAAUGUCAUCAACUUGUUCACUUAAAUUAUCAUUAACUUGUUGCUGUUGCUGCCCUUGUCCUUCAAUAUCAAGUGCAUCUACAGGAUUAUCAUCAGGCACAACACUCCUUGAAGCUGAAAAAAACUUAUGUAUAGCACCUUUUUGAGAUUCAAUAAAUUGAUCUUCUACUCUUUUCCGUUUUCGUUUUUGAGAUCCCGACAAAUGUUUUUUAGGUAACAUUUUAAGUUUCUAACACCUAAAUUAGAAGAAAAAUAUGACUAUAUGAGUAUCGAGUACUAGAAAUCGAAGUAAUUAAUUUAGAUUAAAAACGAUAAGAAAAAAAGCCUGACGAGGAAGGGAGGAAGCACACUGCACCUGCACGAGCCGCAGUCCCGCACGAUGUGUCGUCUGUGGUCUCAGGUCUGCCCGUCGCGGCGUCGCCGUAGGCAAUCUGCGGUUGAGGUGUCGCCGUGUCGGGUCGCUGUCGCCUAUCGCAACGCACGACAGGGGGCAGGGGGCACUGGCACAGUCAUCGCGUCGGCAGGGACCAGGGGCAUACAGAGACGACGAAUUACGGACGGCCAACUGCGGACGGCGUGGCGUAGACCUGAGAUCAGGCGACAGGCAUUCGCGUCAUUGCCUGUAUACCUAAAAGGCCUAUACGGCUAUACCUAUUACCUAGGGUCUUUGGCUAGGCCCCCCACUCCUGUGGGCCCUAGGUCGGUGCACCUCGUGCACCCUCCAAGGGCCAGCACUAGCAGGAGUGACCCAAGAGCAAGCUAACCACCGCGGAGACCGACAUCACCAAAGAGGGCAACUACGUGGUUGUCCCCGAAGGAGUUGAAGCACAGGUUGACAAAGUCAGCCAACAUCGGGUGGCAGGGGGCGUGCCGGCGAGCGCGUCGCCCUCCUCUUGCGUGGCCCGGCAACCUCCCUGCCGUCCUUCUCCAUGACCAUGGCACCACGAAUGUGGUCGCCGUGCUGGGCAUCCGCCAUGAAGCCAUCGGUGGGAGCCGGUGGUGACGAAGCGGCGACCUGUCGGGGGGAGCAUGGUGACCCGGCCCAUAAAGGCAUGACCUUGGAUGUGCUGAUGACAUCCUGACCCAUCGGCGGCUUGAUGGCGGGGAGGAGGCCUGAACCGGCCGUGCGCUGGUGGCAAGAGUAGCAGGGGCUGCCACCGCACUAUAGUAGGAGGGCCCGAGCAAGCACGGAUCCAGGGACGCCCCGCUCGUGGCCGUAGCAGAACCACCACCCCGACACCAGGGAGCCCCGGGCAGCAGAUGGAGAGCGCCGUCCAUGCUGCGGGUGCCCCGUCGGGUGGUAGCGCCAGGAGCAGCACUGCGGGGACAAGUGCGGUGAGAGGAGCGGGGGGGAGGCCGACGGCCCAAAGUCGCGCGGCGAGGCACGGGUACGCGCACGCCCAGCCAGCAGCCCUAGCUCCACGUGCUGCCGUCGUGGUAAGGUCCAGUGGUGCGGCGCUGCCGUGCUUGCCGGGCCAGGAAGACCCUCCCCCCUGGAGCUCGGGAGAGUCCAGAUCUAGGCUCGAACGUAGCAGAUCCGGCGAAGGGCGACUAGCGGCACCGGCAGCCAAGAUGACCUUGAUCAGGAGAGCAGGAGAGGAAGAGAAGGAAGAAGGAGGGAAGGAGACGCGCGUGGCACCGGCUUCGGGCCACUGCUGGCUGCCACUGCCGGUCGGCUACCGGCGGUAGUGGCGGCAGCUGGGCGUCGGUUUGGUGGGAGCGGCGACGACCUCUGGAUGGGUCACCCCCGAGUCGUUCCUAAGAGCAACGUGGGGAGGGGAAAAAUCCCAGUAUCUUGACCUUCACUAUAGAGUAGAAUGUGCUUUGCCACACGCACAGAAGGACCACGGCCAACGGCGCCCGAGGUGCCAUGGCUGGCCGUUGACCGUUGUGAUGCAACCUCGACAACCCGACGCCAUGAUGGACGGGCCGACGCUCUGCCUUAAAAGAUUGGGCUUGGGUCGUAUGUACUGUGGGCUGCCUUCAAGCUUGUGGGGCCCAAAUCCAUCUUUGUCACCUGAGAUUUCAAAAGAACAGCAAGUGAUAUGGACGAUGGAAAGAAACAGGGAUCCUGUGUUGGAUCAGUCAGCUAGAUGUGGCUGGUCAACUAAUCAAUGACACGUAAACUUUUAGCGUGUGUUUGGUUUGAGAGUUGAAGUGGGUUGGGGUGGGUCGGAUCCAGUUGGGAAAGUGUUUGGUUGAAAAACUAGUGGGUUGGUUCAUCCCAAGAGGGAAUAUUCCCCCAAUAUCCGGGUUCAUCCGGUCUGGCCAAAAUGAAUGAAUCGUUUCGACCCACUUGAACGGCGUCCUCAUUCGUCAGUCCGUCGUCUUCUUUGUGCACGUGAGGUAGCUCCAGAGGAGGCACUAAGCUACACGAGCUGGCGGGGAUGUUGCCUUGCGACGAAGCCGGCGGCGCUGCACGGUGGGGCCGGAUGGCGACGCUGCACGGCGUAGCUGCUUGGGCGUGGGCGCGUGUAACAUCCGUAAAAUUUACUAACUCAAAUCAUCCGCUAAAAAUUUAUUUUCAAAAUCUUUUGACCGUUGAGCUCCCGAAAAUCUUUUCCUUCCCGACGACUCCGCCAUCCCGGCACCCAACGCCGACAGUCGUCUUUUUCUCCCUCCGCAAAUUUUGCCGCGUGCCCGUCAACAUCCGUCACGCAUGCCCGACCGAUUUCCACAUUUUUCACUGACUCUCCCUCUCUUUUCUCUUUCUUUUCCCCUUCUCCUUUUUCCCCUUUUCUUUUUCUUCUUUUUCUUCCUUCUCUUUUUUCCUUCUUCCUUCUUCCUUCUUCCUUCUCUCUUCUUCUUUCUUCCUCCGCCUUUCCUCCUGGCGCCUGGCAAUAGCGCUGGCCUACCCCCGGCCCCCUGCCGCACGUCACCCAGGCCACCCCCUGCCACUCACCCCGCGCCCGUUGGCCACCCCAGGCCCGCACGCCGCUCGCCCCGACGCCCCAGCCGCACACGCCACACGCCAGUCGCUGGUCGCCGCCAAGCCCCUCCCCACGCUGGCCACCGCCCUGUGCAUCCUGUGCUCCUCGCCACUCGAGCUCGGCCCCGCCACGCCCUCAACGCGGAGCUCCCCUGCCUCAUGCCACCGGCCGAGAACUCCGGCCACCAUUAAAAGCUCGCCGGCCACAGGCCCCGCCGCCCUUGUGCACCGCUCGCCCCGCCCCCUCCUGCAAGCUAUAAAAGGGGAGCCGAUGCGUGGAGCUUCGCUACUCCCCUGCGCCCAAGCUCCUCGCCUCCCUCGCGCCCAAUCGCUAGGAGUGCCGCCGUCGGAGCCGCUCACCGCCCCCUCUCCCGUCACCACCUGCCCAAGGCGAGGGCCAAAAUGGGUCCCCCACGACCCCCUCUACCUGCCCCCCUCCCCCCCCCGGUUCCCCAUCCUCUUCCCUCAGCAAGUCACGGUCCAAGAAAGAAGGAAAAAUCCCCCCAAUUCUGAUCUAACCCCCUCCUUUUCCAUAUUCACAAACCAGCCCUCCCACCUCUCUCAAAGUUCUCUCGUGGAUAUACCCUUCCACCUUCCAGAAAUAUUCGUGAAUAGGUUCCUGGUUCUCGCAGUUUAGUCCUAAACCUUGUUUUAAGCCCCUAACACUCCGUUAAUUCAUCAUUUCAUGCGUCAAAAUUCCUCCAAUUAAUCCCAAAUUCGACCACGGCGUCCUCCAAUAUACUUUCGCUGAGGCAUCUCCAAAUUUCAUGAAAAUACUCAUUCCUUCCAUUUUUCGUUCGCAUUCUCUGUUCGAAGCUCAACGGGUAAAGCUUUAAUUUUAUUUUAUUUAUUGUGUGCUUGAUUGUGUGUGGCGUAGAUCGUGGAGUACCCGAGGAAGAGUUUGACCACGAGCCCGAGCCUGAAGACCAGCACCGCAAGCAGGAACUCCCGGAAGGCUUGGAGGACGGCAAGUCCAACCUCACCCUUUGAUGCAUAUUUAUCCUAGUUAUUCAAACACAACCUAUUGGCCUGUUUCAUAAAUUGCAUAUUGUUUUACCGCUGAAACAUGGUUGGAUAGUCACCCCUUGAUUGCUAUGAUUAUUCCUUACUUAUCCUAUAAUUAUCUCUAAAUAUGACUUGCUCUGUUUGGAUAAUAAUUACUGCUAAAAUGCUUAGGAUCUUGUUACUCAAUUCAAUCAUAACUACAAUGUGUUUUGUUAAAGAAUAAAUGUGUGAGUAUUUUUAAAAAAUGGAAAAUGGGUUUCCGAAAAUGAAGGAAAGACAUGCUUAGAUGAGAUGGAUGGGUGUUUCUUGUGUGAAAUGCCAAUAAGUUGGCUUGUACCUUUGUGGUUGAGCAAAGUUGGGAGAUAUCCAUCUUGUCAUGGUUAAGGACCGAGUUAAUGUGUCAUCUUGCCUAACCCAACCAUAGUGCAACCACUCGACCGUUGUAUGCGGCAACGGCUUAGCAUAAAUCCCACUAGCUAGUCUAUUAGUCAUCAGGAGAGCUAGUGAGCAACGGGAGACCAUGGAGAAGGAAUAAGAAUUGUGUGAACUUAGAUCCCGAUUAAGACCUCGUUAGUAGGUCAUUAACCCCUCGGUUGCUUUCGUGUUGACUAGUUAGUCUUAGCUAAGGUGGGUAAUGGCUUUGAUAGGAUCUGCACCAACACUAAGGUGAUCGUGCAGCGGUACCCUACUUGUGGGAAAAGUGUACAACCUCUGCAGAGUUAAAACCUAUCCGGGUAGUCGUGUCCACGGCAUUGGACGAGUUACGGCUUGGUCACAUAACUAGUACUUGGAGAUGGAUGAUUUUCUUGGCGUGUGUUGGAUUUCAGAAGUGUCUGGCAGUUGUGCUGUGAGCUAUUGUGGGCAGGGAGUCCGGUAGCAUUAAAACUUGGAUCCUUUGUGUAGGAUCAACCUCACUUAAUGAUUCGGUUACUAAAAGAAAUGCUUUGUGAAAACUCUUUUGAAAAUGAACCCUUGCAUGUGUUAAAAUCUAGCUUUACUUCAAAUAAACCUUAGCCUUAUCCUUGUUAUAUCAUGAGCAUAUUCUUGCUUGUUUCCGCCUCUGUGGAUGGGGUUGGACUUGUUGAGUACAUUCGUACUCACCCUUGUUUUGUUGCUUCAGAGGAAGAUCUGGACUUCGUCAUCGAGGAUUUCGAGUAGGAGGUCGCUUCCGCACCUAACGUUGCCUAUGGUGUUAGCCUUUGCAGAAUGCUUCCGCUGUUGCUUAGUUCCGAUUGCAGCCCGGGGUCCGACUGGACUGCAACUUGGAUCUGUAUCGUUGUUGGUUUAGUUCUCUUUUGGGUGUGUCUUGCCCACCCACUCCUUCGGGAGUUGUAUGGUUUUUGAACCAUCUGUUGAAUAAAUGUGUUAUCAACCUCCUGGGACUGAUAUUUGUAUCACAUUUAGUCUCUACUUAUGUGGGGAUGCUUUAGCGCGGUGAAGGAUGGUACGGGCGACGGCGGGCGGCGCGGCGUGAAAGAUGGCGUGGGCGGCGCGACGGGUGGGGAGGAGCCAGCUGCCAGCGACGCUAUGCAGGGCGGGGGUGUAGGAGCUAGGCGGCGGGCGAGGCAGGGUGGUGAAGGGCCAGCCAGCGGCGACACUAUAAAGGCUGGGGGCAUAGGAGGCGGUCGUCGGGGCGGAGAGGGGCUAGGCAAGGCGAGUGGGAGGGGCCAGCCGGCGAUGGCGUAGGGGAGGCUCGAGCUGUGAAGGAAGAAGAUAAGGUCUGGCCAGAGGAAGAAGGUAGGGUGCUAGGAAAAAAUAAAGGAUGACAGAUGGGAUGACAGGUGCGACAUGCUAGUAACUCAUGCUAAUGGUGUUAAAGAGGACAUCCAUCCAUCUCUCUAGAUAUCUCCAACUAAAUAAAAAAAUAGAAUGAACCCAACCCAUUCAACCAAACACGCACUGGGUCGAACCCAACCUAAAAAAGAGGGACGGAGCCAACCCAACCCACUUGAUCCCCAAAUCAAACACAAGCUUAGGCACUCUAGCUCGCUACCAUAAAGUUUGAUUUAUCUCAGUGAUAUACAACAUUUUUAUAAGAGAAGGAAAAACAAAACUUAGGGUUUGUUUGGCAGGGCUCCACUCCAGAACUCUAGCAACUCCACCAAAAAAUCCAGCCAAACACCUCAACUCCAAAACUCCAUGGAGCAGCCAACUCCAUGGAGCUGUAGUGCAAAUGGAGGUGGAGUUUUGGAGCACCUCUUUUGCUCCUCCAAAACUCUCUAUUUCGAACCUCCUCGUGGAGUUGGUGGGUUAUUACCCACCAAUACCACUGGUUACACAAAAAAACGUUUCAUUCUAUUUUCCCACCCCCGUCACCUGUCGCCUACCGCCUCCCCGCCGCCUGUUGCCGUUCCGCCUGCCGCCUCCCCGCCGCCCGUCGCUGCUCCACCCUGCUGCCCGUCGCCGCCCCGCCGCCCGUCGCCGCCCUGCCCCCGUCGCCGCUCCACCCCACCGCCCGUCGCCGCCCUGCCGCCAUCAUCGAGCCCCGCCCGUCGCCGCCUUGCCCCCGUCGUCGCCCCGCCCUCGUCGUCACCGUCGUCGGCCCCGUGGCCGCCUCCCCGCCGCCCGUCGCUGCCCCGCCCCCGUCGCCGCCGUCACCGAGCCCCGCCUGCCGCCUCCUCGCCGACCGUCACCGCCGAAUCGGGCGGAAUCCGAGGGGAAGAGGGAGUAAUGGGGUCGCCGGGGGCCGGGAGCAGUGGCGGCGACCAUGAGUGCUCCUUCAAGAUCCUCCUCAUCGGGGACUCAGGCGUCGGCAAGAGCAUCCUCCUCGUCAGCUUCAUCGCCGCUUCUGCCAUAGUACCAGAACGGAACCGGACCUAGACCCCCAGUGUACACUCCUAGUCGUAGCAGUGGUACGGCACUAGGAUUUUUGGGCGGACGAAACUAGCUAGCUGCGGAGGCAGGAAUCAAGGCGGCGUCCGUGCGUGAUACAUCAGUCUCUCUCUCACCGAGCAGAACGUGGCAGGAGAAGAAGAUGGGAUAGAGAGGAUAACAAGUGGAGCCUGAAUUGGGGGGCAACAAUGGCAAUCCAUACUGAAAUCGAUUUUUUUUGGAGUUGAGAGCACCCAUCUAGCCAAACACCCCAUUUUUAUUCUGGAGUUCUAGAGUGGAGCUGGCUCCACCUGGAGUUCUGGAGUGGAGCAGCUCUACUCGGAGUUGGAGCCAUGCCAAACAGGACCUUAAUUUCAAUAGUGGUGCCGAGCUUAAUUAGGAAGAAGUGAAGAACCAACCAGGUUCAAGCCAAGGUCACGACUCCCUUGUUGCCGAACGCGCCUUCCAUGGAAUACGUCUUCUCUUCAGUAUACCGCCCGACGCCUUCGGUACCAGGUCUGACAGCAAUAUCUGAAGCAAAUGCACCACAGCACCAGAUAUGCGCCCAUAGCGUGCACGUGUUCCUUGCUAAGAGCCUGAGACCACACACACACAACAGAGCUCCACAGCAACCUGAUCGCCAUGGUCGGCCUAUCCAUGGACCAGUCCUUCGUGCAGGCCCCCGAGCACCGCUCCAAGCGUACCAUCACCGAGGCCACCGGCAUCCCACUCAUCGACAUUUCGGUCCUUGCCUCCGGCGACGCCGCCGCCGUGGACGCGCUGGCCGCCGAGGUGGGCGCGGCGAGCCGGGAGUGGGGCUUCUUCCUGGUCGUGGGCCACGGCGUGCCGGCGGAGACCGUGGCGCGGGCGACAGAGGCGCAGCGCGCGUUCUUCGCCCUCCCGGCGGAGCGGAAGGCGACCGUGCGGAGGAGCGAGGCGGCGCCGCUCGGGUACCACGAGUCGGAGCACACCAAGAACGUCAGGGACUGGAAGGAGGUGUUCGACCUCGUCGCGCACGAGCCGCCGCCGCCGGCGGCGGGAACCGUGACCGAUGGCGAGGUCGUGUACGAGAACAAGUGGCCCGAGGACCUGCCAGACUUCAGGUGAAUCCAUCUGCAACCUGUCGAACAUGCCGCCGUCCCGUUGUUUUGACAAAUCUCAUAUAUGUUAAAUUAGUUUUGAGUUUUGAAAAUGACUGAAUUCUCCUCAAAUUUCACUUUUAUCAAUGUGAAACUAAAAACUUGUGCAGGGAGGCGCUGGAGGAGUACAUGAAAGCCAUGGAAGAGCUGGCGUUCAAGCUGCUGGAGCUGCUGGCCCGGAGCCUGAACCUGAGGCCCGACCGGCUGCACGGCUUCUUCAAGCACCCCACCACGUUCUUCCGCCUCAACCACUACCCUCCCUGCCCGAGCCCGGACCUCGCGCUCGGCGUGGGCCCGCACAGGGACCCCGGCGCCCUGACGAUCCUGUACCAGGACGGCGUCGGCGGGCUCGACGUCCGGCGGCGCUCCGACAGCGAGUGGGUCCGUGUCGGGUGCGUCCCCGACUCCUUCAUCGUCAACGUCGGCGACACCGUGCAGGUAGGCGACGCCGUCGAGAUCAUCCGUCACGAAUUAGUGUGUAAGCUGAAAUAAUCGAAGUGAUGCGCGCCCAAUGGCGUUUUCAGGUGUGGAGCAACGACCGGUACGAGAGCGCGGAGCACCGGGUGUCGGUGAACCCGGCGACGGCGAGGUUCUCCAUGCCCUACUUCUUCAACCCGGCGGCCGACGCCGUCGUGGAGCCGCUGGAGGAGCUGGUGGGCGGGGAGGAGGACGACGACCCGCCCAGGUACAGCGCGUACAGCUGGGGGGAAUUCUUCAACACAAAGCUCAACGGCAACUACAGGAAGCUGGACGUGGAGAACCUCCAGAUCGAGCACUUCAGGAAGGGCCUCGAAGCGUAGCAGGAUUACGGACAGAUCCGUGCCCCGGCGAGGAGACCGGCCGUUGUCUUCUGCUACCGAGAGACGAUCGUCACCGUGUCGCUGUUUCUGGCCGUACAAGUAAUCUUAUCGUGACAAAAUAUUUAUAUUGCAAGACAGGAAGCAUUCAACGAGAUAAUAAUAAUAUGAAGAUAAGCUCAAAUACUAAAAAUAAGGUAUUUAAUCCAAAAAUCUAUUUCCGUGCGUUUUCACGAGUGCUGUAACUUUUUUAACAUAAUGAUGUUUUGAUAAUACCAGACAAUACAAUAAUGACCGGGGAUUACAAUUGGCAAAAAGAAACUGUGAAACCAAUAUUUUGAUACGGAGAGAAUACAACCCGCUACAUGGUUCGUGAGGAUUUCACGAGGAAGAGAGAUAGAGGAUCGAGAGAUGAGAGAAGGCACGGGAGAAGAGUGUGGCGGAUCCACUUCGGAUUAGCUUGAUUAAACAUGGUUAAGUCGCCUAACAUGCGACACCCAUGUCUUAGCCAAGUUAACACGAAGUGCCGUCGGAUUUCAUCCGAUUUAACCACUUGAACAUGACCAAUUAGCAAAACCCACACGAAGGUGAGCGGUUCCAGAGAAUACAACAAGUCCACCGAGUUAACAAAAUUACCCAUUUAGUUUGGCCACAAAACACAUCAGAGUUUACAAGGUUCAAAAGAAAAACAACAGAAGGUAAAACACUAGCGGAAGCAAACUCGUCGGGGUCGGACAUCCCUGGUGAGGCCCACCGGGACGUCAAUGAUCCCUCUCCUCGCCGUCCGAGGAGGGAUCCCACUCGACCGUCCAACCCGGAGGGAGUUGGGGCGGCCAAGUGCCGACAGGGGAAGGCUCAGAGGCAGCCACUUCACCUGAAAAAGAAAAGCCACAACAAGGCUGAGCUACUAAGCUCAACAAGACUUAACCGACAGGGAGCGCGCUAAACUACCUCUGCUAGACAUGCAAGGCUUUUUGGCUGAGGGGUUUGUUUGCCAAAAGCGCUAGAUGUAACCCUACUUUCAAGUUUUAGCUCCGGUUCUAAGUUCAUUAUCCGGUCUAAGUUUGCAACCUAUUCUAAGCAAUCAUAGAACCAACCAAAGGUAUAUAUCUCAUCAACAAAACCAUAUCAUCAUCAGAUUCCUUAUUUACUCAGGGUGACAUGCGAUCAAGCAGUCUCAAACUGUGAGAGGCAGACGAAUCGAUUCAAGUUUCUUAACCAUGCAUGGCGAACAUAAUCUCACGACAUCCGCGCACCACAAGGGCUGCUUCCUGUGUCGGCCGUCCCCAUCAAUUCCCAGGCGCGUGUCAGGUCCAAACUUCCCUUGGCAUGCAAUGCUCCACAGUCCCGGCCUCUACCGUACUGUGACCGCACUUGCACCCACAUGAUGCACCAUGGGAACCUCGUUCCAGGGACAGCAGGGGUAUAAGCCACGCCCUAGUUCAAUCAGGUACUAGGCUUCCCCAUCCCAUACUAGGUAUGAGAUUAGUACCUUCAAACACUUGAUCACGAACACCACCACUGUCGGGCCUUAGCAAGUUUCAUAGACAGACGGGGCGAUCAACCGACCACCAAAAAGUUACCCAAAACCCUGCCCCGUCCAUCAUCCUUACAGUUCUAACAGAAGAGAACUCAACCAACUCCUAUAAACUCGCGAGUGAUAGGAAAUCACUCAGCUUUUACCGCUUCCUACUUGAGCAAAGCAUCUACUCGGUCCAACAGCUAGUGUUCAGGUCAAGGGAGCUAGGUUAUGCAUCUAUGGUUCCAAACAACUCCUGUACGUAAAUGCACAAGCAUGUUAAAGAAGGCAUGCGCGAGUUUGGCAAAACAUAGGGGAUUCAUGCAUCCGGGGCUUGCCUUCAAGCGAGAAGGAAGGAAGCUGCUCUUCUGCUUGGGCGGCUUCGGCUUCUGGGGGCAGGAGCUCGGCUACAGCUCGUAGUAGUUGUCGGCGAGACGCAGCUCUACACGAAUGCAAUGCAUGGGUUAGCAUAGACGGUUAUUUCAACAGCAACACUUGCAAGUCUGAGCUCAGAAACUUGCGACAAGUUACAGGAGGGUGGGGAGGUUCAAAGGAGUUGAUGGAGGUCAAGAGGUAAGGGUCGGAGGGAAGGAACUUAUGAGCUGACUCGUAAACUAGAGGGUUUGAUGUACUAGGGGUCCUCAGACUCAACGCUGAAAGGUCCCCAAGUUUUACACAUACACCCUCGGUUCAAGAAAAAGACACAGCCGAGCCCUCGGGCGAGGCGGAGAAGGGUCGGCGGAACAGACAGGGUCAGGCGAGACGGAACCGGGGUCGGGCGGAUAAGAGGGGUCGGACGAAGCGAACAGGGGUCGGCAGCCUACCUUCGUCUUACAGAGGAGGCUUGGGCGGAAGAACUAAGGGCUUGGGACGGCGGCGAGAAUGUCCGGCGGCGGCGGUGCUUCUUGUGGAUCACAAGCAAGCUCUUGGGCAGCACUGAAAGCAGUGGCUGGUGGAUUGGAGAAAAGCGAUGGUGCUUGAGCAGAGAGAAGAGUUCCUCAGACUUAGGUGGUGGCGCUGUGAGCUCGAACAGGGAGCAAGAGAGAUGGCAGCUAGGGCAAGGGAAACUCCGGCGGGGCUUGCGCAUUCCCUUUUAUAGCGGCGCGGGAGUGAGAAGGGGAGCAGCGCGAAGGCCGGGGAAGAAGCAAUGGAGUGCUCUGCCCGGGCGGCGAUUGAGCGACGAGGGCGGUGGAGCAGGACUUCAGGGAUGACGCCGGCGGUCAUUGGGCACUGGCGUCAGGGCGGCGCAGGCGCGGGUUUGCCGGUGGUUGAGAUUUGGCGGAGGCGGGCGUCGUCGUGCGGUGGAUCUGAUGGAAGUGACCAGGAAAACGGCGCUAGGAACGAGGGCGCACAGGUGAGAAGACAGGCGGCUGCGGGCGCGCGGGCGAGCGCGGAGCAACAGAUUGUUGGGGCGGCUUCUGACAGGGCGGGAAAAGGAGCUGUCGCUGCCGCGGUCUGGGUUGGCGGAGGAGGAAUCGUCGUGUAGCGAAGACCGGGCGGCGCGACUGUGGCGAGGUGACGGAAAAGACGGGUGGCAUCGGCUCUGCGGCCGGGAUCUGGCGAUGUGAUAAUGGGCGCGGGCGGCGAGGUUCUGCAGAAAGGGUUGCAGAGGGGCUUCCGCUGCGAUUGGGGAGGAGGGCGCGGGAUUCCAUCCAGUCGCGGGCCGAGAACGAGGCGAAGCGGCGGACGUCAGAGGAGUUGAGCCACGCGGUGGGGGAACUCUGAAGCGGGCAUGCAACUCGAGUGCACCUGUCGCGGGAGAUCUGGGGGAAAAGAUCUAGUGGGCCCACCGGUCAGUCUCGGUGGUCCACUGCUCGAACUGGAGGACGAUGCGGCGGAAUGGCUUAGGAAGAUCCGACGGUGGGUUGGGGGUCGGCGGGGUCGGAACUGGGGAGACCAUGGCGAGGGGUCGGAUCGCAGGGGUCGGAAGAUCUGGAGAUUGAACACUUAGACUUGGAAAAAACCAAGACAGGUGAUCAGGGGCUCGGAUUAAGAUUGACACGAAGGAUUUUUGUCCGAGGCCGUCACAAAGAGAAGUCAAGCAGGGAGUCGCACGAGAUAUUUUAAAUGAGUCUUGCAUUUUUAGAUGACAGCCUUAUCGGGGAUAGAUCCCAAUACCCACGAGGAAUCCUAAUAAAAUUCCUCUGUAAUCCUACUAGAACUCAUACCAUGUAAUCCUACUAGGAUUCCUACCUUGUAACCGACUAGUAAUCCCGCUCCCUGAGUAUAUAAAGGAGGGCAGAAGUCCCUAGAUCGGUAGGCCAAGACCUCAUAGAACCAUAACAAAGGACCAAAUCCUCAACACCAAACAACACCCAAGCGCAGGGCGCAAUAUACAACACCCCAAAUAGGACGUAAUGUAUUAUGCUACUCUGGUGGCCCGAACCUAUAUAAAUCCGUGUCUUGUGUCCUCACUUUUACUUUUAAGUUCCAGGUCCGACGAUUCCCCACCAACCAAUCUAUUACCUCAGGAUACCCCUCGUUAGUUUACCGGGUAUAAAACACCGACAAGCCCUUUACAAACAUAUUUUUUCAAAGAAAGGUCCUUUAGGUAGGUAAUAAGGGCAUUGAAAUAAAUAAAAAGCUUUAAUGCAGUCCUCCUGAUUGGAUUAUAUUCAACGCACAAGACAUUAUCCAAAAAAAAGGUACAAAAUGAUAUGCAAAAAUCAAAUUUGUGGUUGAUAACCAUAAUUUAUAAGUCCAUACAUUAAUUAAUUAAUUUGCAAAUAUCUAAAUAGAUAUUACUCUUAGAAUUCUCAACUACAGCCAUUACAAUCAUCAACCUAAUAAAACUCAACUAUAGCUAUUACUCUUCUAUAAAUUAUCCAAAUAUAACAUCAAAAGUACAUAUUAAGUCAUAUUAAAAUAUAAAUAGCUACAUAUAGACCAUAUUAUACAGUAUGGUAAUAUAUCCAUGUAAUUUUUAUGUACCCAUGGUAACGCACGUGCAAGUUUUGUAUAAAAUAAACAGCACUACAGAACACGUGACAAAUCGUGGCUACGAAAACGAUGUUGUUUGUGGGCUUGUGGCUCGCUCGACCCGUGCAGUAACUGCGCGCACAAUUUGUCUCACUGACGUGUGGGCUAGCAGAGUGUAGGGCCAACCGGCCCACGACAAUGGCACAACUGCACGUGCAGUGAUCUCUAUCCUCCUUGGCGCCAAAAUGGUGUUCGAUCAUGAUGGGGAGUCGCCGAGGAUUAGUCACUUGGGUGCUAAUUGUGGAGUGGUUUAAUCUACUGAUGCUUCACCUGAAUAUGGCUUUCGUAGAUGAAAAGAGAACAAUGAAAAAUGGUUCUAGAUGUGUUGGUAAACACUUGAAGUGCCUGGAAUUUAAAGUUUAUUCGUGCAUAUACAUAAAAUGUAUUAUACUUCCUUUGGUUCAAAAUAUAGAUCGCUCUAUAAUUUCUGCUGGCCAAUUUUAUUAAAAACAAACUUUGACCAUCAAUGUAAAACCUUUUACAAAAGUUAAUAGAUGUCCCUAGAUUCACCAUGAAAAGUAUAUUUAAUAUAUUUAAUUAUCAUUAUUAGAAAAACGUCAUAGUCUUAUACAAAUUAUUGGUUAAAACAUCACCUAGUAGACCAUGUUGAUGUCCUCAAAUGACGUAAAAGGAAACGUGUUCGAGAAUCAUGAUUAGACUGUUCUAGCAGUACUAACUGUUUCUUAUAAAAGGACCAUGUUGAUCGGCAACGCACAGUCGGCUCGCUUGCUCCUGGGCUCACGUCAGGCAGGGAGUUGUGGACGGGAAAUCAGGUGACGGCCAAUGCUGGUGCGCUAGGUGAACUAGCUACAAAAUAGCCAUUCUGUGACCGGCCACGAAGUAUACAUUCCCGAAAAACUUCACUCUAUAAAUGUCCUAUAUAUAGCUUAAUGGCCUAAAUGUUUCAGGAGCACAAAAUGUUUGUUCCCAAAUAAUACGAUGAGACACAUGACAUGACGGUAAAACAACUUAUUAUAAGACCCAUUAAUAAUGAUUCAACUGUGAAUGGAUCAACGGUCAAAAAAUCAUCCCGUGAACAAGUUUACAGGCGCGUAAAAUAUAGAAGGUGUGCAAAAUAAACUAGUUUGCUUCUCAUUGUAACUCACGGUACAAGGUUACCUUAUUUCAUGUAAACGGGGGCAGGGGAUUUGGGGGGGGGGGGGGGGGGGGAUUUUGACAAUGGGUAUUCAAAAUUUCAUAUGGUAGAAAAAGCUUAGGGUAUAGAUUCAUUUAUAGACGAAGUAAAAAUCUCUGGCUCAGGUUAUCUCUUCUUUGCCGCUGAAUAAGAGGAGGAGAGAUUGGAAAGCCUAUUUUGUGGUGCUUUGUUUUUAGUUUUUGAAUACAUAUACAUAUUUAUAGACUACUGAUGCAAAGUGUUUUGUCAAAAAUAAUGGGUAUUCAUUUGAGCCCCCCUCCGCGGGGGGGGGGGGGGGGGGGGGGGGGGGGAGGAGGGCUCUAUCCCCCUAUAGGGGUGCAGUCCAUGGAGCUCGGCCUAAGACCAUCCUAUUAUAUAUUUCUCUAGCCAUGGAUGAAGGAGUGGAAUAAAAAACACAGAGGGGGAAGAAGAGAAAGGAGUGGAAUUAAAAAAAACAGAGGGGGAAGAAGAGAAAUAAGGAAGGAUGAGCAAAUAAGCCCUAGGAUGCUGCCCACCUCCGCUAAAGUAGAUCAAUCCAACAAAUUCUAGAUGAUAUACAUUAUUAAACAUAAAUUAUAUUUUGCUAAAUUAGUAAAUAUGCAUUCAUAAUUGGCUAAUAACUACAUGACUUCAGUUUACAGAAUUUCAUUUUCACAAAUUCUAUGCCUUCCAUAUACUGAUGAAGGAGCGAAGCCAUAAACAAUCGAGGCUAGAAGAUAACAUAUGAGUUAAUAGGGUCAAAAUUUAAUUCUUCCUUAAUUUAUAUAUAUGGUAAAAUCAUCAUUGAAGUUUGUCUACCAUUGGGGGCCCAAGCCCCCCCUCUG